RNAcentral lists this long non-coding RNA (73825 nucleotides) under Brachypodium distachyon (stiff brome). Its description in RNAcentral is "long non-coding RNA (BDIS_LNC006018)". Lineage: Eukaryota; Viridiplantae; Streptophyta; Magnoliopsida; Poales; Poaceae. The record is from RNAcentral.
GUUCUGCUGGUAGUUUAGUCUAGUACUCCACCACGUAGAAACUGGAAAAGGGGACGGUGAUAUGGCUCGUUUUAUCACUCCGAUCAGAAAACCUGGAGAUGGACCAUAAGAUUGAUGGAUCGAUGUGGUCUAACUGUAACCAAAAUACUGAAGGCCUGAUCCACGAACAAUUACUGAAUCUCAAUCGACCAAUGCCUCGUCCAGGCUUCACUGCAGAGGUACGGAAUUUACACCUUCAGUUCAACAAGGCGCAGAGAGCAGAAGUGCAGAGAAAUCAGUAACAUAUUUGCCACGAUCUCGUAGUGCAGCGGAUCAAUAGAGAGCCACACGAACAAGUUAUGAACACGGAAGAGAUCGAAGAAAUGGACAAGGAGAACAGUGCUAAUCAAAGCUGGCAGAACUUUUCAUCAUCAUCUUCAUCAGUUCAUCACUGAUUACACUAUAUUACAAAGCCGGGGGCAAUCAACAACCAGCCAAGUCUCAGGCCCAUGGUUGUUCUCAUGCCACAGCCACACCUCGUAGGAGAACACUACAAGGCAAACUAUCUCAUACGUAGUCCCUAACUAAUUGGGUCCCCAGCAGCUGAGAUACAUGACCGUCCUCAGCCCCUCCUCUGCCUUCUCCGCUCGCCUCUUCUCUGCCACCGCUGCCGCGGCAGCGGCAGGAGACAGCUUCUUGCCCUGCGAGAGGCCGCCGCCCCUUGACUGCACGUUGGCCUUGGCUGCCCGGUGGAUGGACCUCAGAGCGUAGUUCCAGCGGCAGAGGCCCGCCUGGUCCUUGAGCGCCUCCACGGCCCCCACGCUCAUGGCCACCAUCCACGACGCCUUCGCUGCACCAGCCAUUUCUCUCUUCUAGUUUUCUCCUUUCUUCUUUCUCCUUGCUGCCUUGGUGAAGAGGAGACGCUGAUCCUUGAACUGUGAUCUCUGUAGAUUGAUUAAUCGGCUAGGAAGAAACUGAGCUGAAUUGAUCUGAUCGUGGUGUUGUGUUGUUGGUGAGAGGAGGGUGAGCGGUGGACGGGGUUAUAUAUGGGAGGGCCGGAAGCAAAACCGGUGGCUGCGGGUGUUGGUUUUCCAGGAAACCGGGUGCUCUCGGAAGCUUUCAGAUUCAGUUUGUUUGCUUCCGCCGCACAUCUCGCUUUCGUCCCGGUGAUGUGGCCGCUCUGCCAACCUCAUCAAUCUCGUCUUGUUUAUUCGCGGAAGAGAGGCGGUUUUGUCCGAUAUUGCGACUGGCCCGCGCUGGCAGAGAUAAGAUAUCAACUAUCAAGAACCGGCGAGAACAAGCAUUGCCUAUCAUAUCUCUGCGUGAAAAUUAAAUUAGGAAAACAUUAAAAUUUUAAUUCAUAUGAUUUUUUAUAAAUGUUUUUAAAUCAGAAACCGCAGAUUUUUUUUAUCUUUUUCUUGAAAAAAGUUUUUUUUGUUGGGCGUGGUUAUUUCUCAUGCUCUGAUUUUUAAGCAAAAGUCAGUAAACAAAUCGUAGCCGUUAGAUUAUGAUCUAGGUGUCACUCCUGCUCUUUACUCUUCCAAGUACAACCGUUGGAUCAAGAUCCAAAAGCCGUCAACUGAUCUAUAACUAAAAAUCAUAAAGUUUCUCAAUAGCAAAACCUUUUUUUUUCGAUAAAUUUCAGCUUUGAUAAAGUUUUUUUGUCUUUUCUUUUGAAACAAUGAACCUCUUCGCGGGACAAGAAGAGAACAGUUUAACAACAGAAAGUCAUAUCUUCUCUUGAAAAUCCAUAUUGGGUUUCAUUUUCGCCGUCACCUCUUCUUAGCCGGUAAAUGUCUUUUUUUUUCCUUCGCCAAAUCUACCAUUGGGAGUUCUAGUUUUUUCCAUCUAAAUUUUUUUAUAGAAUAAAGUUUUGUUUGUCAAUCAUUUUAACCGCGUCGGCGAUCUCAACAGCGAAUUUAUCAAGCCAGCACACUGUGCGCCCUUGUUAUAUCUACCUAAAUUGCUAAAUAUGGGUUGACACUUUAUGCAAGAUUGAAAUCUCUUGGGUGGACACUUGACAGCGAGCCGAUGGGCACAUGUUCCACAAUCUACAUACACAUGAAUAAGUGGAUUGCAUAUGAUUCCUCGAGUACUAUGGUCCAAGAAUACUGUUUGUGACUUGCGUCUACAGUGUUUUCUCAAGAAAAAAAAAAUACUAUUCGUGAUCAUCAUUUUUAGGGGAACGCGCGUGCAGAUAAUCAAGCUCAGAUUGGCCAUGGUUGACACGGGAGCAGGUAGCAGAGCGAGCAACAGGCAGAACCAUCAAUCAACCCAAAAUUGCACAAGUUUUCACCAUCAUCAUCAUGAUACAUAUGUACAUCAGGGGGCAAGAACCAGCCAAGUCGCUUGCCAAUUGCCAUGGCUGUUGCUAUGAGCGUAGGAACACCCUGUAGCCAAUGAAAAACUAGUCCUAGUUGGGACCCCAGCAGCUGAGGUACAUGACCGUCCUCAACCCUUCCUCUGCCUUCUCAGCGCGCCGUCUCUCCGCCGCCGGCGCCGCGGCAGAGGCAGGGCGCAGCUUCUUGCCCUGCGGGAGCUCGCCUCUUGCCCGGACGUCAGCCUUGGUGGCUGCCCGGUGGACGGAUCUGAGCGCGUAGUUCCAGCGGCAGAGCCCCGCCUGGUCCUUGAGCGCCUCCACCGCGCCCACGCUCAUCGCCGCCGUCCACGACGCCUUCUUCGCCGCACCCGCCAUUAAUUCGGUUCUCCUCAAGCUGCGUGAAUCAAUGAAGCUGGAAACCGGAAACUGAUCUGUGUGAACUCUGUGAUCGAUGACCGUAGCAGUCUAGAUGAGCUAGUGAAGUGUGGGAGUUUAUACGAAGGAAUUGAGCUGGAAGCUGAUGCUUGUGUUGAUGGGAAGAGAGAGGGGAGCUUUGGCCAGGUUAUAUACGGAAGCGGGGCUGCGGCAGGGCGGGAGCAAAACAGGCAGCUGCAGGCGCUGGUUUUCCAGGAUACCGGGUGCUUUCAGAUUCAGGUUCCGCCUUUGCUUGUUUACGCCGCACCUCUCGCUGUCGCCCCGGUGCAAUGCCACUGCGUGCACACGUCGUAUCGACUUUGUUUAUUCGCGGCGCCGGAGGCGGUUUUGUCCAUUUCGACUGGCCCAGGCCGGUUGAGAUAUGAUGGGAAUAACUGGUUGAGAUUUCAGAACGUGCAUCAAGAUUCAAUGAGCAAAACGAAAUUAUUUUCUUGCAACGGAUUGCAAAUUCGCAAUCAUUAUUUAUUUUUUAAUUCCAUUGUGAAAACGAAAUUAGGAUAUAUUUUUCGUCGCCAGAAAAAAAGAAAGUUGGAUUUUUUAAAUUAGGAUAUAUUAUUACUCCUCAACUAGAAUUCGGCAGCUGCUAUCAGUCCACUUCAGGCCAACAAGGCAACAAUUUGCAACAGUGAUUUCGAGAGUUUUUAACCACGCACUCUUGGGUUGACGGUGAGACCAAAGGUACGGAAGAACAGAAGAGCCUGCAGGAGGACAUGGUUUCCAAUUAUACAUACAGGUGCCAUAUGAUUCAGCACUCAUUUCAGUGUUUGCCGACGCUACAGGCACGCAUGUGGCAGAACACCAAACAAAAGAGUACACAUGUGCUGCUGCACGAAUCGUGGACACAUACAAAAUUGAGUACUUUCGUAUGCUUAUAAAAUUCAACAUACGAUUGGUUAUUAAAAAUUUGUGUAUACGUAUGUAUGUUUAAAUACUGCCUCUUCCACUGUGUCUUUUAUUGCCUACAUGAUCCUCUCAUUUAGUCAUGUUAAAGUUUUGAUUAUCGUCUAGUAGAACUGGGAAGGGAACCAGGUAUUGCUCGAUUCUGUCGCUUAGAUAGAUCUGAAAACUUGGAGAACAGCUCAUGAGACUGAACUCUCGUAUGAUUUGCUUCGCUACUAUGGAUCAGAGAAUACUAUCUGUGUCAUCAUUCAUAGUGGAGCAUGUGGAGAAUCAACUCAGAUUGGCCACCAUUUUGUUCUGCCCGUCGAAGGAGCAGAGAUAGCAACCACAGGCAGGAACUUGUAACCAACUCAAAGCUGAUGAUCAUCUGGAAAAAAUAAAUCAAAGCAAAUAGACGGUAAUGCAAACUUGUUCUAAAGCAAGGGGGCAAACAAUGUAAACUCAAGUGGGCAGAAAUUUUCAUCAUCAUCAUCGUGGUCCAUAUUUACAAUCAGGAGGCAAUUAACCAGCCAAGUAGCAUAGCAGGCCAUGGCUAAUUUUGCUGCUAAUAACACUACUAGCUUAGUUGGGACCCCAGCAGCUGAGGUACAUGACCGUCCUCAACCCCUCCUCUGCCUUCUCAGCUCUCCCCCUCUCUGCCAUCGCCGCGGCAGGGGACAGCUUCUUGCCCUGCGAGAGGCCGCCCCUUGCCUGGACGUUGGCCUUGGCGGCGCGGUGGAUGGACCUGAGAGCGUAGUUCCAGCGGCAGAGCCCGGCCUGAUCCUUGAGCGCCUCCACGGCCCCCACGCUCAUCGCCACCAUCCACGACGCCUUAGCCACACCAGCCAUCUUCUUCUAAUCUUCUUGCUGCUGCUGCGUUUGUGGAGACUGAUCUGUGAACUGUGAUCGCUGUAGUUUAGCAAGUGUAGUAGCUAGAGAACUCAGAACUGAUGGAGCUGCUUAAGUGAUGCUUGUGUUUGGUGAGAAGAGAGUGGAAGUGGGACGCGGUUAUAUACAGGAAGGAGGCCCUGGAGGGGCGGGCCGAAACCGGUGGCCGUGGGUGCUGGUUUUCCAGGAUACCGGGUGCUUUUGAUUCCAUUUUGCUUGUUUCCGCCGCAUCUCUCGCUGUCUGUCCCGGUGCAGGUGCCCGUGCCACUGCCGGGUGAUCUGCCCACAUCAUCCUUCUCAUCUUGUUUACUCGUGGCGCGAUAGGCUCUUUUGUCCGUUGCGACUGGUCCAAGCCGGCAGAUAAGAUUGGAGGGAGAGACGCGUAUCGAGAUUCAGUGGAUAAAACUAAAUUACUUUCUUGCAAAAACAUAACACCUUUUUUUUUGAAAAAACAUAACCAUCGUCUAAUUUUUGUUAUCUUCCUAAUAAUCGUUUAUAAAAAUCAAGUACAACACAUAGAAUCAGAAAAUGAUUUUGAACAAAACUUAUGAUAACAUGAGAUGGCCGUUCCUUCUUCAAACUCUUCGGAUGAUAGGGUUUGUGUUCUGAUAUAUUUCGGAACCGGCAACGAGGUACUGAUAUAAAAAAAAUCAGAGCACGUAUUGAUGGAUUUUAUUGGGCAAUCUCGCUACACAUGACUGAUUUAGUUUUGGGUGUGGUUAUAUCUAAAUUGCCGGAUUUUUAUGUAAAAUGUUUAAAUUUAAAUUGACGAAUCAUAAUCAUUUGAUUAGCAUGUAGAUUUCAUUUUAUCCUUCUUUUUUCAUCACCCAUUUUGAGUCUUAAAGCGCAAAUUAUAGCCAACGGCAGAUGAAUCAACUUAUCUCUAACUAAAAAUCAGCCAACUUAGAUAUAACAAAACCGUUAAGCACACGCUUUAUUCUUUCACACGGAGUUGGUGGCGGCAGGCACAUGACACAGUCUAGUCCGUCCUCCCACCGAUCCUCCGGUGGCUCACCUAUGUGUGUUCUUUUAUUAAGAUUUAUCUUGUUGUUGCGUUUUUUCUGGUUGUGUAAAUCUUGUUAUGCACAGGCCGAGUCACUAAACUCUUUUGUUUGUAUCAUUCUGAUUAACUUUGAGAUCAAUACAAUGCUCCGUUUAUCAAACAAUUUGCGAGAUGUGCUUUGGAGAGUUUUACCAAUGCUCUCGUGUUGACGGUGAUACUAGCUAUACAUGUAUGCUCUCUGUAUGUUUAAAUACUGUUCUUUUAGGGGUGUUAAUUUACCUUCCAUGGUCCACCUAUGCAUGUUGCAUUUCUGAUUAUCAUCAAGUAGAAACUGGAAAUGGAACUCUGGUUUGUACGGCUCAAUUCGCGUUGGAUCACAAAACUUGGACAAGACUGUACACGGGUUCCACAUACAUGUCUGAAACCUAUCAUUAAUUUCUCCGGUCAUCAGUAGGAGUAGUACUACGGAUCCGAUAAUACUACUAUUUGUGCUGUCGUUCCUUUUGCAGCAUGCAUAUAAUCGGCUCAGUCUGGCCACGUUCUUGUCGCGAGCAACAGGCUGGCCAAGAGGCCAUGUCAGUAUGCAACCAACUGAAAGCAAAUGCUUCUUCAAAGUAACAUUGAAAGCAAACAGAGGGAAUGGUAAACUUUUUUCUCUAUCUCUUUGAAGCAAGGGCGAUAGUAAAGUCGAAAUUGACAGAAGUUUUCAUCAUCAUCAUCAUGAACCAUAUUUACAAUCAUGGGUCAACCAGCCAAGUCUGGCAUGCAGUGGCAAGCCAUGGUUGCCAACGAACACGUACGCUUAGCUAGCUAGCUAACUAGAAUUACUAGUUGGGACCCCAGCAGCUGAGGUACAUGACGGUCCUCAGCCCCUCCUCUGCCUUCUCCGCUCGCCGCUUCUCUGCCGCGGCAGAGGCAGGAGACAGCUUCUUGCCCUGCGAGAGGCCGCCCCUUGCCUGCACGUUGGCCUUGGCCGCCCGGUGGAUGGACCUGAGCGCGUAGUUCCAGCGGCAGAGCCCGGCCUGGUCCUUGAGCGCCUCCACGGCUCCCACGCUCAUCGCCACCAUCCAUGACGUUGCCUUCGCUGCACCAGCCAUCUUCUUCCUUGCUGCUGCGUUGGUGAAGAUCGACGCACUGGUCUGUGAACUGUGGUUAAUUCCUGGCUGUAGAUCGAUUAGCUGCUAGUGGAAGAACUGAUCAAAUGGUUGUGUUGUUGGUUAAUUCCUGGCUGUAGAUGGUCCUCCUUGGCCAUGAGAAGAGAGGAGCUAAUACAGAUGCUCACAAUCUUUCUAAAGCAGCAGCAACUCUCUCUGCGGGUCGCCGUUUGUGGCUUCUUGAUACCCCUUGAAUCUCUUGUAUCCCAACCUUUGCUUUGAAUUAAUAAAGUGGGGUACUUUGCUAAAAAAGAAAAAAGCUGCGUGCUGCACCGGUCCGUCGCUCCGACGAUCUUUCCUCUGCACCCCGGGUGGAUCCAAAAGCUCAGCUGCCUAACGGCCUGCACACCUCGUGCAGCGAGAGCGCAGGAAUACGGGUUGGUGAGACAUGCACAUCUGCAAGACGAACACACAACAAGAAAGAUACCUGGGCGACUGCACGAAUCGUACAAUCUUAUUAUUUGUAUAUGUCCAUUAAAUUCAAAUUAUGAUCCUUGAUUAUUAACAAAAUAACUCGCACAUACUUAUGUUUAAAAGUUUAAAUACGUACCGCUCAACCUCCGUCUUUUUUCUCUUUGCCUACCACGGUCCACAGAUCCACACUCGUCUUAACCGUUCUGACCAUCGCUUGGUACUAUGGCUCAAUUCUGCCACUUCGAUAAAAAAAGAAGAAGAAGCCAGGAGUCCAGGAGAACACAAACAUCGUACAUGACUGAACAUGCGAUUCCUUCAGUAAUACUAAUAUGGAUCCGAGGAUACCAUAUUUGUGCGUCAUCGAUCAUUCAUGGUAGAACAUGCACAUAAUCAGCUCAGGCUGCCGCCAUCUUUUUCUACACAUCGAAUUGCCACGUAGCAGGACAAGCAACAAGGAAGAACUAAUUUGUAACCAACUCAAAGCAAAUGAUCCAUGAAUCCUCCUUCUCGCAAAAAAAAGAAGCAGCUUGGAGGCAAAUAGCCAUCUGAAAUUCUGAACUCAACGCGGCAGAAGUUUUCAUCAUCAUCCAAGUACAUAUUGUACCGUUGUACUCCAUAUUUACAGACCGGACUCCGGUGGCAACCCAGCAGCGCCAAGCCAUGCACGGCUGCUGCUAGCUAAGAACACCACUAGCUAACUAGAAUUGCUACUAGUUGGGACCCCAGCAGCUGAGGUACAUGACGGUCCUCAGCCCCUCCUCUGUCUUCUCCGCCAUCGCCGCGGCAGGAGACAGCUUCUGGCCCUGCGAGAGUCCGCCCCUUGACUGCACGUUUGCCUUGGCUGCCCGGUGGAUGGACCUCAGAGCGUAGUUCCAGCGGCAGAGCCCGGCCUGGUCCUUGAGCGCCUCCACGGCCCCCACGCUCAUCGCCACCAUCCACGACGCCUUCGCUGCACCAGCCAUAGAUUCUCCUCAAGAUGCGUUGGCUCCUUGGGUUCGGGGACACUGAUCUGUAUCGGAAGAACUGACAGAGCUGAUUAAUUGAUGCUUGUGUUUGUGUUGGUUGGAAGGGAAGUAGGACUUGGUUAUAUACUGGGAGGAACGGGGCGAAACAGGUGGCUGUGGGUGCUGGUUUUCCAGGAUACCGGGUGCUCUCUGCUCUCCGGCUUUGCUUGUGUACGCCGCGUGUGCAUCGCUUUCGUCCCGGCUCGACUCGUCUUGUUUACUCUCGACACGCGAUUUGUCUGUUGCAAGUUGCAACUAGCCCAUGUGGGCAGAGACAAAGAUGGAGGAGUAGGAGAUAACCUGACGUGCCAAUGCAGACCGGAUGCAGAUUUCUUUUUUUCUGAGGGAAAGACCGGAUGCAGAUGCCACGCAACAUAGCAGCCUGCAAUGACGGGCCACCUUAACAUGGGCCUCAAUUCUUGGGCCCGUCCUGUUGUGUGUGUGCCAUGAUCUAUCGGCUCGUUAGCCCACGAAAACGUGGAAGAAAGGUACGCAGGAGGCAGGAACUCUACACGAAUGGAACGUUAUCUGCUCCCACGACACACGCCCACAUCUCUCAAGUCCAGCUUCCCUCUGGUUCCCCUCAAGUUUCCCGAGCUAUGAUGCAGCAAAAGAUCACGGCGUGGAAGCCCUACUACGCUCAGCAGCCGGGGGCGCUCCUGCUGCCAUGGCCGUCGAUCCGACGAGCUUUCCCCUGCACUCCAGGCUUGUAUAGCAAGAAGACGGGGGCAGCAUCGCGGCUGGUGGUCAGGAGGAGGUGCCAAGAAAAAGAAGAGCAGAGCGGCAAUGGCGGCGGCAAACAGAAGCAGCAGCAGGAGAAGAGGACCUUCCUCAGCCUGGAGGAGGCCGGGCUGGUGGAGAUGUCCGGCCUCAGCACCCACGAGCGCUUCCUCUGCCGCCUAACCGUAAAAUUACCCCUGAAACCCAACAUGUUUAUAUUACAUAAAUUAGUAGUCGAUGGUUGAUGGUUUGUGUUCUUCAGAUAUCGUCGUUGAACUUGUUGAGAGUGAUAUCGGAGCAGGAAGGCGUGGCGAUAGAGGAGCUCAACGCCGGGCGUGUGUGCGACUGGUUCUUGAAGGAUAAGCUCAAGAAGGAGCAGAACCUCGACUCCGCUGUCCUGCAGUGGGAUGAACCUGCCAUCUAGCUUCGCCGUCUUGGUUAAAGGCUUUGAUAAUUCAUUCGGUUGAGAUGAGAUAAAUAGCAUAUGGGAGGAUCGAUGCAUGAAGAUCAUGUAAACACGGUUAGCUUGCAGAGUUUUUCAGCAUUGCUCAAGGAUCAAUGCAUGUCUAAUGUUCCAUUUCAAUUCCAUGAAGAGAAAUAAACGUAUUACAACUUUGAUUUAGCUGCAACGUUUCUGUAGGCGAAGUACUACCAUUUUUAUCCAGUUUUCUGUUUUGCAAGUAUCGCGAAAAAGUUCUUGAAAAUUCAUAGUACGGAGUGAGGUGGAGAUGGAGAUGGUCCAAAUGUUGGUCGGUUGGUCCAAAAGCUUAAAAUUGUGACUGGGGAUUUAGAAGGAAAAAAAAGUCCACUCAACUGAUAAAUUAGUACAGGCCGAACAAACGCUCAUUUCGUCGAGCAACUGGUGCGCGCGCGUGUGUGCUCCUCCUUGCCACGGUUCCAAUGCGGCGAUUCUGCAGCAUCCCGCGCGGCAGGCGAGCGGCGCCGGCCGCGAGCCCCUACGGCCACCAGCCUCUCCCGCCGCCGGAGUGGAUCGAGCCGUACACGGACCUGGCGGACCCGAGCCCGUACACCUCCGCCUCGGCCGCGCCGCCUACCCCAUCGCCAUGGCUCCCGCGGGUCGUCUCCCUCGUCCUCCGCGCGCCUCCGGCCACGCUCGCUGCCGACCUCCGGGCCUUCUGCAAGACCUUCCUCCUCCGCCUCUCCCCGGCCUUCGUCGCCGCCGCGCUCCGCUCCCCGCAGCUGCUCACGCACCCGCUCCCGUCGCUCCACUUCUUCCGCUCCCUCCCCAACGGCGCCGAUCUCGCCGCCCACCCGCAGGACCUCCUCAACUGCUACGUCUCCCUCCUGCACUCCUUCGCGCACUCCAGAGAGGCUACCCCCGACGCCGCCGACCACGCGCGGCAGCUCGUCGCCGAGUUGCGCGCCCGCGGGGACGCCGUGUUGAUGCACCUCACGCCGCCGUCGUCCGCGUCGCUGAUCCGCAGCCUCGCGGCUCUCGGCCUCGCCGACGAGCUUCUGUGGGCGUGGAGCGCCAUGCGGCUCGCUGGCGUCGAACCCUCCAGGGUGACCUACAACUGCCUUCUCGAUGGCCUUGCUAACGCAGGCCUCCUUGACACUGCCAUCAACGUGUUCGACGCAAUGUCCACAGAGGAUCGAGUUCGUCCCGACGUGGUCUCCUACAACAUUCUCAUCAAGGGGUACUGCCGCGCAGGGAGGGCGCAGGAUGCUAUGGCACGGCUCGCUCACAUGCGGGAACAGGCCGAGCUCUCGCCGGAUAAGGUGACAUACCUUACACUAAUGCAGUUGCAUUACAGCGAAGGCACCUUUUCUCAGUGCAUAAGAUUGUUCCAAGAAAUGGAAGAGAUGGGAAUGGGGAAGGACAUUCCGCAACAUGCUUAUGUGCUGGUGAUUGGUGCUCUUUGCAAGGAAGGGAAGCCAUUUGAGGGACUGGCUGUGUUCGAGAGAAUGCUGAAGAGUGGUUACCCGGCCAAAGCAGCCAUGUAUACCGCGCUCAUUGACACAAUGGGUAAAUUUGGUAGGGAGAAUGAGGCAAUGCUACUCUUUGAGAGGAUGAAGGCAAGCGGUCUUGAGCUCGAUGCAAUCACAUACGGAGUCAUCGUGAACUGCUUGUGCCGGUUUGGGAAGCUGGACGAGGCCAUUUUAUGUUUCAGGAAUUGUGUAGAGAAGGGUAUUGCGGUGAAUGCUAUCUUUUAUACAAGUCUGAUUGAUGGCUUUGGGAAAGCUGGAAUGGUCGACCAAGCACAGGAGCUCUUUGAGGAGAUGAAAGUUAAAGGUUUUGUGCCCGACUCAUAUUGCUACAAUGUGCUGAUCGAUGGAUUAGCUAAAGCAGGAAGGUUGGAUGAUGCGUGUGCCUUGUACAAGAGAAUGGAAGAUGAUGGCUGUGACCAGACUGUCUACACAUAUACCAUAAUCAUUGAUGGUUUGUUCAAGAAACAUAAGAAUGAGGAGGCAAUCAAGUUCUGGAACACAAUGAUCGAUAAGGGGAUCACUCCCACAGCUGCAGCUUUCAGGACCUUUGCCAAUGGCCUCUGUCUUUCUGGCAAAUUCAGCAGGGCAUGCAGAAUAUUGGAUGAAUUGGCUCCGAUGGGGGUGAUCCCUGAGACGGCACAUGAGGAUAUGAUCAAUGUUCUGUGCAAGGCUGGCAGAUUCAAGCAGGCAUGCAAAUUGGCAGAUGGCAUUGUACAGAAGGGCCGUGAGAUACCUGGAAGGGUUCGAACGAUGAUGAUCACUGCACUCAGGAAAGCAGGGAACACUGAUCUAGCUGUCAAACUGGUGCACAGUAAGAUAGGCAUUGGAUAUGUAAGAUCUGGCAGUAUCAAAAGAAGAGUGAAAUUUCAGACCCUGUUUGUAUAAGUUGACGAUUUCAAAAAGGUGAGAGAGAAGACACGCAGAGCUGCUAAAGAUUUAUCAAAACUGAGAAGGCAUGGCAUAAGCUACACUGAACUGUUGCAUCGCAUUCUGGACAAUGUUUUGAAUCUGAAGAGCCUGCUCUCCUGCGGGAAUUUUGUUGCAAUGUUCAGGAGCCAAGAAUUAUUCUGGCAAUUUUCAGGAGCCAAGAAGCUUAAAGCAGCCAGUUUCAAACAAUUAAUGCUAUGUUUGCAUCGUUGUAUUUUUUGUGGAAGGGCUAAAGGGCUAAAAUUACUUGGGGUACAUGAAUCUCCCAGACUACUGAGAAAUACCUAUGUGAUCGACUGCAUUCUCUUCAAAGAAACGAUAGGCUGGACAAAGAAUUGCUAAGAUGGCCUAAUCAGUGGCGUACCCACCCGCGGGAAAUUUGGUCUGCUGAUCGUUUUGGGCAGACCAUCAGAUCGACAUUGUAGCGUCAAAAUAUGUGACAUGUAGUGUUUGGUUGAUGGCACGAGGAUGUGAAUAUGAUUCCACCAUUGUACUAUAACUAAGUCAUUCGGUCUCAAUUUGUCUCAUGCUCGAACCAAACACUAAAUUAUCACCGCAACUGUGCUGCUUGAUCAGUUGCUUUGGAUCAUACAAUGAAGAGUUUUGCAGCUCAAUUACAUGGACCAUGGUAAUCUUACCAAUAUUAACGAAGUUUUGGAACUUACGCACACGAUGGAUUUAAUACUGUUACCGCACAUCCUGCUGUUCUCUUUACUGCGAAAACACGCCUAUGCAAACCAUAAAUCUAUGAACUUAAAUCUUGAUACAAAAUGGGACAUCCAAUCCAAACAGAUUUUAUUGCGUACUGCCUCACCAGGCCAGGAAAGGAUUUUGCCAAAAUACUGCUCACAGAGCUUUUAAAGACUCUGGCCAUGUAUUACAAGCACAACAACAAUUCGAAGUAAUAAAAAUAUGUGCAUGUCAUUCCCAGGCAAGAAUUACAGGGUAUCAGGCCAAGGUUGUUGGUUAUCAUCGACCAACAAGAAAGCCUACAUUGGCAUAUAAUCACAUUAAAGAUCUCUAAGGCCCUGCUACAAUCGUUUCUCCAAAAAGGAGAGCACAAUUUACACAAGCCCGGUUGGUUCAUUUGCAUCCAAUGGCUCCUGCAAUGAGUGAAAACCAUACUUAGAAAACAAAUCUGACAAAGUAAUUGGGAAGAAAAUUGCACAUAUGGAUCAAAAUCAGACAUCAAAUUGACCAGUUGAUGUCUCCCUAAACCUAUUACACGAAACAGUGGAUGGACACUAAACUAAGUGCAUAGGGCUAACACAGAGAAGCCACACAAAAAUCAUCAAGCAUCCCAGUACAUCAUGUAUUUAAACAAAGUAUCAAGGAAGCCAAAAUCGAAAAUAUUUGGAGAAAAAGGGAGAUGAGACACAUGUACAAGCAUUGAUGUCAAAUUGUCUACAAUGCCUCAGAUUUGUCGAUUGAUGUCAAAUUGUAUCCAUUUUGUCAAGAGGUUCUCCCUGAAACAGGGGCUUGACUCCAUGGAACAUCCAUUUUGCAGACAGGAUCAUCAUCAGCAAGAGUCCAUAUAACAUCCAUAUUGCAGAGAGAAGCAUCAGACAUUUAUUUUAGUACUGAAUAUAAAUAUAUCUAUUACUAUGAUGCAUCAGAUCUUUUUACUUACAGAAGUGAAAUUUCUACAGUGCCUCAGAUUUGUCGAUUGAUGUCAUAUUAUAACUGCUUCUUCAAGAGGUUCUCCCUGAAACAGGGGCUUGAGUCCACAGAACAUCCAUUUUGCAGACAGAAGCAUCACAGGCGACUAUCUAAAGUAAAUUAUAUGCUACUGCUAUGCAUCAUAUUUUGGUACAUAGAAAGAUGAAUUUUUCAAAGGUGCCUCAGAUUUGUCGAUUGAUGUCAUAUUGCAUCUGCUUCCUCAAGAGGUUCUCCCUGAAACAGGGGCUUGAGUCCACAGCACAUCCAUUUUGCAGACAGAAGCAUCACAGGCAACUAAGUACCAAAGAUAAGAUUAAUUGAUACCAUGACGCAUCAUAUUUUUCGUUAAUUAGAUAAAUGAAACUUUGUAUAAUGCCUCAGAUUUGUCGGUUGAUGGCAUAUUAUAUCUGCUUCCUCAAGAGGUUCUCCCUGAAACAGGGGCUUGAGUCCACAGAGCAUACAUUUUGCAGACAAAAUCAUCAUUGGCAACUAUCUUAAUUCUUCAAAUGCAACAAAUAUAUAACUGCAUAUUUUCAAAUAUACACCUAAAUUUAGAAUAACCAACAGUCUAGCCAAUGGUCAUCCCAAUGCAAUUCAGACGGGCAUGAGCACAGGACAAGCUUAGUAGAUGCACAAAAUUAGGAUUAAACUGACACAGUCAACAGAUGUGGAGAGAGAUUUUGGAAGCAUAACCAGAAAGAGUUAGCUGCCACGUUAAACUCACCAGGAUCACUCUGUGCCACCAUGACUGGGCAACUUUGAGAAAGAACAAUCUCAAGAAGCCAAAGGUGAGAGAGGCACGACCAGAAUAUUGCAAUAUAGCUGUCAAGAGAAGCUCGGAACGAGCACCUUACAAUGCAUGAAUGUUGGACACUGAAACUAAGUACAUCACAAGUUUCGUUGUAACAGAUGUGACGAGAGAUUUUGGAAGCAUAACAAUUAACUGUCAGCACCCACGUUAAACUCGCCAGCGAUCACUAUGUGCCACCAUGACUGGGCAACUUUGAGAAAGAAAAGUCUCAAGAAGCCAAAGGUGAGAGAGGCACGCUUACAAACAAAAUCCAACAGCAAUACUUGGUUUUAAUGUUAAUGGCACAGCAGUGUUCAAUUUGAUACUAGAGCUUACUAUACAUAGACAACAUAAUCGAAAGCAAGCAUUGACUUACCCUUUCAAGUGUCGGCCUUCUUCUCCGGCGAAGUGGAAGUCGGGGAAGAACCAGCCGCCGCAGGAGGGGCGUCAUGGGAGCAGCAGCCACCGCCGUGAUGGUGGUGGUGGUGCUUCUUGGGCUGAGGCUGCCGCAGCAUCUUGCGCAUAUCGUAAGCAUCCUCCCCGUCGGCGUAGUACUUGGCCUCGAUGUCGUGGAUCUGGUAGCCGAGGGUGGAGGUGUAGAGGUUGAAGGCGGCGCGGUUGGAGCGGCGCACGUGGAGGGAGACGUACUCGGCGCCGAAGACCUGGUCCAUGGCGGCCUGCGCGGCGGACAUGAGCUUGGUGGCGAGGCCGAGCUUGCGGUGGGACCGGAGCACGGCGAGGGAGGUGAUGUGGCCGUGGCAGGGCUCCGAGGGGUCCUCCUCCAUCUUGGCCAGCACGUAGCCGACGAUACGGCCACCGUAGUCCUCCGCCACGAACAGCAGCUGCGGCCAGGAGAGCAUGUGGUAGAAGUAGUACUUCAUCUGGUAGUUCUCCGGCAGGCACAUCAGGUUGCACGCCUGCAUCGCCAGCAGGUCGUCGAUCGUUGCCUGCCGGAUGCACACCAUCUUCGCCGGCCGCCGCUGCUCUCCUCUACCCUUUCUAAGGUAAGGGGGUAUAGUCUCUUCUCCGGCGAGAUGCGGUGAUUGUGAUGCAUCCGGCGGCGGCGCGUAUUAAUAGAGGUCUGGCGAGAGGAAUAGAGACAUUUGACCUAACCCUAGAAUAAAGGGCUGAGAUAGGCCCAUGGGCCAAAGCGAGUUAGCACGAGAUUGGUCCAGUCCAGUGACAAUGAGAACAGGCGAUCCCGUGAGAUUUGGCGAAAAUUAUGUGAAUAUUCGAGCACAUAAAACAAUGUUUUUAUGUUCUGGAGUACUCCUUCCGUUCGUAAAUACUUGUCGCUGUUUUAGUACAACUAGUACGGUGCCCGUGCGUUGCCACGGCCUCUUAAACAUGUGCACACGAAAAUUCAUGUUUAUACAAAACAUAACAAUAUAAUUGGACAUUCAUCAAAAUGAUCUCGAGGCUGAUGCUAGCAGCCGCGGCCACGGACAUGGCACCCAGUCCACACCGUCCGUCGGCCGUGGCUGGCGUCAGAGCACGCGGUGGUGCAAUGCACGAGGAACGGUGGAUACCGUCGAUUAGCCCUGGACCUCUUUGCUCGUCUCUUGCAAGAUAAUCUAAUCCGGCGCCGACGCGUAUUGAGAGCGGUCAUCGCAAGGAGGUGCUGCGCGGGCAGUUGAGUCGUCGGCGAUGGCCCGGGAAGGCAGCGCUGUGGAAAAAAAAGGUUCGAUGGAGUGUAAGGAGACACGAAAAAUCAGAACAUGCAUGGAAAUUGAUGCACGGCGGACGACGAAGGAAACCUUCCUGUUUUUAUUAUUAGGAACUUUGCACUAAAACAGCGACAAAUAUUUAGGAAUAUUUAGGAACGGAGGGAGUAUUGUCUAUUCAAAUUGUAUCUUAUUGUAUACUCCAUUUUUUUAGAGAAUGUUGGCCAUGAAUGAACUCCUGCUUAUGUGGUAUUUUCUUCAAGAAUUUUUAUAAGAUAUUUCAUCAGGAUAGAAUACAAGAUACAUGCAAAAAAAUUGUACCAAGAGAUACAUGAAAACAUCAUCCAUAAAGGAAGAUACAUGCAACACCAUGGCUGUUCAGAAAGGAUCGAUGUCUCAAGUUGCUCAGUACAAAUUACAAAGUUUCAUCAGCACACGUCAAAUGCGGUGCAUCAAGUUAUUCCAAUGGAACAGAAGCUCCUCGCAACAUGCUUGGGUAACAUAGUUUCUUAUCUAAUCGACCAUUGCAAAGCUUAUGAUGUCCCGUCGGCUGCGAGAAAGGGGUUUGCAAUCUCAUCAGUUCCAUCAGUUGGUGACACCAGCAUGACUGCUGUGCCUCUACAGACCUGCAAGACAGAGUAUUGGUAAGAUGUAUCAUGUAUGACAGACCACCUCAACAACUGGAAAGGUAAAAUCCCAUGAAAAGGAUUAAGGAACCACUGGUAAUACUACUUCUAGAGAAAGAUUUGCACUUUACACCUCAUGAUAAUGUGGUUUCCAUUUAGGAAGACAUGCUACUCAGAAGAUACCGGGAAUACAAUUUGAUAAGCAUGGACCGUGACACAAUUCAACAUUACCAACCAUGGGGGAUAACAUCCACUAUUAAGCCCUUCAAAAUAAUAAAGGACGGAUUGACUCUACAAGUUAAAAUCGAUAUUAGAAGAGUACUUACAAUGAGACCAAGCUGUCUGGUCUUAGUUGAUAGUUUCAGUGGGUCAUCUUGCUCUACAAAAGAAAAUUGCAAUACAUAUUAUUACACAUGCCUUGCAAAAAAAAAGACACUCUAAAGCAAGAAUAAAUGAGGUCAAUAUUCUCUCUCAAUGUGCAAGUGACAUUAUGAUCAUGGUGUUUACAGGAAACAUAACUCCACAUUCAUUGUAAUCUAUUACUUCAUGCAUUGAUGCAUGAGCUAGUAAGAUGCUAGCCUUGAAAAUAUUUAGUAGGGCACAAUAUUCUACAAUCGGCACUGAGCAAACAAACAAAUACAGAGGAAACAAGGAUGCCAAGUGCAGUAAUGCAAGGCAAAAAAAGUCCUAAUUGUAGUCAGUCUGAACUCUGAAUGGCUAAGAAAACUCCAUAUGGACGAUUGAGCACAAAUAAAUGAAGCCCAAAUACCUCUUUCAGACUCAACUGCUUCAUCCAGCACUAAGUUCAGCAAUUGGUCAUAGCCCUUUAAAGUUCCUGUGACUGCAAAUACACAUGUGCCAGGUCAGUAUAUCACUGCUAUCAAACAACAAAGGACAAAAACGGGUUUUGUAGAUCUGGAACAACUCUAGGAGUUUAAAUGUCUUUCAACUACCAAGGAAAGAGACAAGUAUCAAGAUGUAUAGAUAAACAGGCCCAACCGAAAAAUAGUUGCAAGGAGUAAAUGAUUUGCAACAAACGGUCAAUAUAACAUGCUAAUACAAGAUGGUAACCAUGAUUGUUCACGGUAGAAGCAUGUAUUGCCGGCCACAUACCUGAGCUAGAUAACCAGCUCACAUCCGGACAUAUGUUUGGCAUAAACACAAAAUCCACAAGCAAAAUCAGGGGCAUUCAAAGAACAGUUUUAUAUGGUGCGUCAGUAGAAUUCUACUCGAAUUAGUAAUAUACUGUAUAGCCAAAUACUACUGCACAGGUGAUGGAGCUAAACACAAGCAAAUACAGUGAGCACCUAAUGGAUCUGACGAUGUAUAGCUUAACCCAGCAAAAGUUCUUUAAAAAAAGUUUGGGGAUGCGAACCAACCUUGCCGGCCGCCGGUGAGCUUCACCUGGACGCCCUUGUCGACGAACUUGGCUAGGUCGAGUGCAGUCUCCUUGCGCCCCGCCUGAGCAAAAGCAAAACAAACAACACAGACUCGCAUCAACGUGGCACCACACGAAUGGAGUCAGCAAACUAGUUCGAGCAUCACAGGGCCAAGCUUACCAUCUCGGUCCCAGCAACCCAACCGAAUCCUUCGUCGACUAGCUCUCGCUCUCGCCUUAGGGACGCGAAUCGAGGGAAAACCUGAGCGAAUUUUUUGCCCUAGAAAUCGACCUGCCGCCGCAGCUGAAGAACGCUCUCUCUCACCCGGAACCGGAGCAGCUCGGGAGUCCUGGCUAUGGGCUAUGGACUAUGGACGGAGGCCCAGUUAGAGACAUGGGCCAGGUUGCGACCUACUGGUUUGUGGGUUCCACAUUUCACCGGUCCCCUAAGGCCCAUGGUGCCACCAGCGAGUCAGCAACUCUCUUCUACCCCCUCAAAAAAAAAAAGCAACUCUCUUCUUCCUCCGGUCGCUCGGUCUCCGCUGCUGCGCCCUCCGCCCGCCGCCGCGUACCGGUGCAGCAAUCCCCAAUUCCGCCGCCGUUGAAGGGUGAGUCUGCGGGGGUCCGUCGUCCGACUGUUCUUGGAACCGCGACUAACACGAACGGUGGUUCUGCCCCUGAACUUCCCGCCAGGUCUCCACGGCUUCUUCCAGGCGGGUGGAGGUGGCUGUAGGAGGUGAAGGUGAUUACCGUACUUAUCGUCGUAGAAUCCGGUGUCUCUGCGCUUGGCGUAGCAUUUCCUGUUUUGGGGUGGCUUGCUGCGUGCAAGGUUUGGUAUAUUUGCUUUCAUAUAGGCGAGUGGGGCAGCUGUUCUGGCGCUUGGCACGUGUUCGACGAAACGCCUCGACAACUCCUUCAUGCUUCUGCUAAUCAUGGUUCCAUGUUUGUUAUCAUGGCAGUGAGAUAUUGAUUGGACAAAGUACUCGGGCUCUAGUUGGAACCAGCACAGGGCAAUGUGAGUCCUCCUGAUCAGUGAUAAUGUCAUAGUGCCGCUUCAAAAAAAAAGAAGAUAAUGUCAUAGUGCCUUAGUGGGACACUGGAACUGGAUAAAUACGUCUUUCUGUACUGGUUGUUCCUAGUUCUUCUACUCGUUGCACGGCAUGACAGCAAGAACUAUCCUGGUACCUAAGCUGACAGCUGCUGAUGCUGUCCACCUAACCUGUUCGUUGUUAUGGCACUGCAGGGAACACGAUCUCGACAUGCUCCGAAUACUUGUGGCCACCGAUUGCCAUCUAGGCUACAUGGAGAAGGACGAGAUACGAAGGUUUGAUUCGUUUGAGGCUUUUGAGGAGAUAUGCUCAUUAGCGGAGCAGAAUAAGGUUGGUAAGAGCAGUACGUUAUCUUUAUGUUGAUCCACCUGAUCAUUUUGUCAUGGACAGCCUAUUGUCGUGCGUCAUAACUGGAUGAGACUGAUUCGCAGGUAGACUUUGUGCUUCUUGGCGGUGACCUAUUCCAUGAGAACAAGCCUUCGCGAUCAACCUUGGUGAAGACUAUUGAGAUUCUACGCCGCUUCUGCUUAAAUGACCAGCCAGUGAAGUUCCAGGUUGUCAGUGAUCAGACAAUCAACUUCCCAAACAGGUUUAACAAUAAAUCUCAUAGUUCAACGUUUCAUUCCAUAAGUGUGCUCAUAUUUUGAGAUCACUAAAAUAUUCCAUGUAAACUCAAGGCAAUCGCAAGAGUUUCCAUGGGAAAGUCCUUACUUAUGCUUCCUUUUUUAUGCAACUUUUACUAAUUUCAUUUGUCUCUGUAUCAUGCAUGAAAACCUUAGGGAAGAUGUCUGCCAAAAACAAAUUAACUUCAUUUUCUGAGACGAAUUUUUCCUAUUGCAUUAACAGAUUUGGCCAAGUAAACUAUGAAGACCCCAAUUUUAAUGUUGGCUUGCCUGUGUUCACUAUCCAUGGAAAUCAUGAUGAUCCUGCUGGGGUGGUAUGAGCUUCUUUUUCUCUUCUUCUGAAAUUUUUGGGUUUCUACUGGAACUAUGUUUACCAUGCUCAUUCUCUGCUUUCUUCUAUGCGUUCAUUCAUUUUCCCUUGUUGUAGGAUAACCUCUCUGCUAUUGAUAUCCUUUCGGCCUGCAACCUUGUAAAUUAUUUCGGGAAGAUGGACCUUGGUGGCUCUGGUGUUGGUCAAAUAGCAGUUCAUCCAGUACUCGUAAAAAAGGUGAACCACUUCCGUCCGAGGCAAUAUCAUGAGCUCUCAAAUAUCAGUUCUGUAAUUUCCUACUAUUUCAGGGUACUACUACAGUUGCACUAUAUGGUCUUGGGAACAUUAGAGAUGAACGACUGAACAGAAUGUUUCAGGUGCCUUUCCAUUGAGUUGGUUUGGUUUGAUGUUUUUUUAUAAUAACUUGCCACUGGAGCAAGAUUUUGUUUUAUUUUUUGCAUCUUUAUACCUGCAAUGCAAUCAGCCCUUAAUGAUAUCAUAUUCUGUAUCUCAAUACUUCAGACACCUCAUUCAGUACAGUGGAUGCGACCUGAAACUCAAGAUGGUAUGUCAGUAUCCGACUGGUUCAAUAUCCUGGUUCUUCAUCAGAACAGGUAUGCAAAGCAAGUUAACAGCCACAAAGUACAUUAUUAUGUUCAUUUAUUUCCAUCCUUAAUCCUGCUGGCUGGAAAGCAAUUUUACACUGGAACUCAUACAGGAUAAAGACAAACCCAAAAAGUGCUAUCAAUGAGCAUUUCUUACCACGGUUUCUGGAUUUCGUGGUAUGGGGCCAUGAGCAUGAAUGUCUUAUUGACCCUCAGGUAGUAACUUGGGAUUUGCUUUUGAAAUUCAUGUUUUUCAUGGCAAAAGUGUACUGAGCACCUGCCUUCUGAUCAAUUGUUCAUAGGAGGUCCCUGGGAUGGGUUUUCACAUCACUCAGCCAGGCUCAUCAGUUGCCACCUCCCUGAUUGAUGGUGAAGCAAAACCAAAGCAUGUUCUUUUGUUAGAAAUCAAGGUCAGUUUAGUAAUCCUCUUCUUUCAUGUUAAAAAUUACAUCAUUGUGAUCUUCAGUGUUUUCUCAUUCCUUAUAUAUUCAUUAAAUAGGGAAACCAGUAUAGGCCAAACAAAAUACCUUUGAGGUCUGUUAGACCUUUUGAGUAUGCUGAGGUAUGCCACUCCUUGCUUAAUACCUUUUUCGGUUAGUAAAUCUCACAGGCUGAAAUGUGUAGGUUGUGUUGAAAGAUGAAGCAGAUGUUGACCCUAACGACCAGGACUCUGUUCUUGAACAUUUGGAUAAAAUUGUGAGUUUUCAGUUUCCAUUGCUGCAUUUACAACUUCAGAUGUGGUCCAUUUUCUUGAAAGCAUGUCGGUGUGCUAGUUUGGAUGGUCCAAAAAUGUCUUCUUUGCCAGUUUGUUUAGUCCGGUGUAAUUCCUUGUUAAAUGGAAGUGGCUUAUGCUCAGUUUCAUAUUACUUCCUCAACUUCAGGUAAGAAAUCUGAUUGAGAAGAGUAGUCAACCAACAGCCAGUAGACCAGUGCCCAAACUUCCAUUAAUUCGAAUCAAGGUAAAAGUAUCAGAACUGAAGUGCUCUCCACGAAGUGAUGAAGAUACAAGCAAUUGUAAGUUCUCAUACUAUUCUGCAGGUAGAUUACUCUGGGUUUUCAACAAUAAACCCGCAACGAUUUGGCCAGAAGUAUGUUGGCAAGGUACCUUGGACACUAAUCUAUUAAUUACUGAAGUGGCCUUCUCAAGCUUACCUGAAUGGACUAAUUUGAUGGCUUCCUGUUGUAAGGUUGCAAACCCCCAAGAUAUUCUCAUUUUCUCAAAAGCAGCAAAGAAGCGCCAGACUACAGGAGGAGGUAUUUUUUAUAUUUUUUAGAAACAGUGCAUUGAACGAAUAUCUGAUUAGUGAGAGAAAAUACACUGAGCUACGAUUUUUUCUAACUAAUUGUUUCCUUGACAAUUUAUUUAUAUAUUGAAGAAAAUGUUGAUGACUCUGAGAAACUGCGCCCUGAGGAACUAAACCAACAAACUAUUGAAGCAUUGGUUGCCGAAAAUAACUUGGUACUCCUUAAAACUUCAUGUACUAUGUUCUAUUAAGUUUUCAGGAGGGGAUACAUAUUGGUAUCCAUUUUAUUCUUAGUGACAUGUCCUCUAGUUGUAUAUAUGAUGAUCAUAUCAUGAAACAAAGAAUGGAUACUUUCUAUAUAUAUUAAACCUUAUGCAUCAAUCGAGUGUUCAAAUGUUCAUUAUUUGUUUAGUAUUGGAGAUAAAUUUUUUUUCAGAAAUAUAAUGCACAGAAGUAUACUUCGGGCUAGAAACUGCAUCGUGUUAGGCAUUGAAUAACUAAAAGUUAAUAUGACACACAAGGCCAUUUGGGUCUCAUUAAACUUUACAUGAGUUUGUACAGCCAUGAGCUGAAAAUUAGUUACAGUACUGUGAGACAAUAGACUAUUUUGUUGUCUAAGGGGCUUCCUAAUUUUUUUUCUCUCUAUCCAUUGAAUACAAUCCAACUUCUUUCUUUUUACGAUGGUGCAUCUUUUUUGUUCUCAGAAAAUGGAGAUUCUUCCAGUUGAUGACUUGGAUAUUGCAUUGCAUGACUUUGUCAGCAAGGAUGACAAGACGGCAUUCUAUGCCUGUUUGCAGAGAAAUCUUGACGAAACCAGAGUAUGAUUCACUACCAUUUUGUAUUACAGUCAGUCCUGAACUUGACUGCAUGAUGCCUGAGAAGAUAUCAUAUGUCUAACUCCAAAAUGCUUGGUUCAAAAUUGCAGAAGAAACUGAAUUCUGAAGCAGAGAAAUUUAAAAUCGAGGAAGAAGAUAUAAUAGUCAAAGUUGGCGAGUGCAUGCAGGUACAAACCUUAUACUAUAGUUUCAAAUCAAGGUUCCAACAAGGUUACUGAUUGACCAUUUUACUCUGUAGGAACGCGUAAAGGAAAUAUCCCUCCGCUCCAAGGGUGACACGCGGUUCACAUCAGGCUCUCAAAAUUUGGUGGUUACAAAUAUUUAAGCCCUUACCCUCUCCCUCUCCUUAUAGUGUAUGCCAUUUUUAAAAUGACUAACCUGUUUAUUGUUCCAAUGGUACUUAAAUCAGGAUACUGGAGGCAAAUCUGUAACAGCUCAAAGUAGCCUCAACACUUUUAGUGAUGACGAGGACACCAGGGAGAUGCUUCUUGGUACCAGAUCAACUAACGUUGGAAGGAAAACAUCUGGAUUUACUAGACCAUCUAAAGAUGCUACUGGUGAUGCUAAAGCUGGAGGGUCCAGAAGAGGCAGGGGAAGAGGCACCAGCUCUUUGAAGCAGACCACUCUUAGUUUCAGCCAAUCAAGGUUAUUGAAAGUCCUUGGUUUCUAGUCUUUUCAGCAUUGAACUUUUCGAGUCCGGUGUGAAGUAUAUGAGAAAUUUAUGGAUUCAUACUAUGGGUUGUGCUGCUCAUGGGCAAAUGGAACUCUAAUCAGUUGUCUGUAACAUUUACGUAUGUUCAAAUGUUUAAAUUAUUCAUCGCCCUUCUAGCCAUUCAUUCUGCAGUAAAUCUUCAGCAUUGACCUGACCGCCCAACAUUUGCAGGGCAUCUGCUGCUAUCCGCAGUGAGGAUGUGGACUCAUCCUCAAACGAGGAAGCGGAGAUUGAAGCAAACGAAGUUGCUGAUUCAGUAUGUCCAUUUUCUCUAUUUGGUACUUAUGUAGUAGUAUUUAACUAUUUAUACAUCCAUGAAAACUUGGCAACAAUAAUCUGGACUCCCUUUCCAAAGGACUUCAUAAACUUUUUUUGUUCUUUGAAUUCUCAAAGGAACCGGAGGAUAGUUUCCAACAAAGUGGACGGAAAAGACCAGCUCCUAGAGGUAGAGGUAGGGCUCGAGGCACUACAACAGCAAAAAGGGGGAGAAAAACAGAUAUUGCUUCCAUCCAAAGCAUGGUGAUGAGCAAAGAUGAUGAAAGUGAUGAAGAUGACACGCCUAAGAAACCUCCUCCUCGGGUAUGUGUAGCACCUCUGUAUUCUCAUGGACAAUUAUAACCGUUGCAGUUAUCUCAUGAAAUUGUUGCAUAUAGAUGUAAUACAUAUAUAUUGAGCAAAACUCGUUUUUUAAGAUUUUGUGUUGUUUCACAGGUCACCAGGAACUAUGGAGCCAUCAGGAGGAGAUAAUUUUCAGGAAGCACUUGCUUUGGAGAAUUUAGACCUUGGUCUCAGAAUACUGAACUGUUAACCUGGCAGGUGGUCUGUUUCCAGCGAACAACUAGAACGUGAUUACAUAAUCUCGUGUAUACAUGCCCAGGUGUAGUAGUUAGUUUGUACAUGGCAUGCAUAUCAGUCAGUGUGUUACUAACAAUAAUUUUAAGCCGACAGCAUGUACGUGCACUGUGUUUCCAGGUCAAGUCUUGUCACUUACGUUCAUGGCAUCCUACGACCUACGUUAUACAAAUCAUUGAAGUGAACUAACCAGAAGAUCAUUUUUGCGAGUAAUCCUGAAAAUACUGCUAUUACCCCUUGUGGGCUUGUAAGCUCAAAUGUGUCAACUUUGUUGCAUAAGAUAAUCCAGGAAAAAGUCAAAACUGUCAGCUUUUUUGCACAAGAUAAUCCAGGAAACAGUAUAUCACAGUGUAAACUUAUACACGGCAUCAUAGUCUCAAAAACGGAUAACAAGCACGUAGGUCACGUUUAUCUAAUCUUCUGCCGUAUCCUCUGUCAUAUGUUCGUUGAUCCAGCUCUCCCAGUCCCUACUAAGUGCUUGGCGGUGGAUUAAUGUUGUAUGGAGGAAGAGGUGCGCAAGGAGGCCGCCCAGGAACUGGAGGGGGAGGAGUUCCGUAAGGACACGGCAUGAAAACUUGACCAUACUGCAAGCUUGUGUUGUGCCCAUCUGCGAUAGUUAAAAGAGAAACAAAACACGUCAGUCUUCCAAAUCAACCUGGAUGUAUUGCACAAUGAACAAGAGCUAAACACUUACCAAUUGACUGUUGUUCAUAGGGUCCGUAAUUGCCAGAAGAACCGUACAUUGCUUGAGGUAAUGGUUGGGCAUGGAUUGGCCUUUCAGUCGAAGCUGCAGGUCCAUAGCCAGAUGGUCCAAGAGUCUGGUAGAAGUUCGUGUAAGCCAUGGGAGCUUCAACUCUUUGGUGCAAAUUUGUAUUGCUAGGAUUAGGAUUGUAUGGGCUUUCAUGGGGUACAUAUGUACUACCGUGCACAUAUCCAGGAAACAGGAUAGCUGGGUAGCUUCCAUAGAUUUGAUGUUGGUCUGUGGUACUUGGGUGGCUUGGGGGGAUUUGAUGUUGGUCUGUGCUAUUUGUAUAGCUAGGAUUUGGGUAGAUCGUAUGGAUUUGAUUCUGAUAUGGGCCAUUCAAGUAGUUUGGCUCGAUUAAAUGUUGUUUCUCUGCUGUACUCUGGAAACUUUGAUUCCCGGUGAUGCAGCCGGAGCUUGCACACCUGUUCCAUAUGGGUUAUCCAUUGGUGGUUGAAAGCCUGUCAGAGAUGAUCUUGCCGCAGGAAUGCCCAGAGAAACAAUCCCGGUAUAUGUCGAGCUAACCUAUAAGUAUUAAAAAAAGUCAGGACAUUGCUAUAUUUCUUAGGAUCAUGAUGGCCUGAAGAGACCAAACUUGAGAAAGAACAGUUGCACCAUACCAUUUGGUUAUUAAAAUUGUCAUAACUGGGAGUCGAGACUCUUGGGAGCAAAUGUUUCAUCUCAUCUAGGUUUCUCUGGGCAUCAUCCCUGGAAAGCUCCACAAAAAUUACCUGCACACAUGAAAAAAAGGACGAGCUGGGUAAUAACGUGAAAGGUGGUGAAAAGACGCAUAACAUCAAUACUCUUAUUAUAAUUUGUAGUAACCUCAUCGAAAGGCUCCUUCGUAUCAGGCAUGUGCUUUGACAGUGGCAAGACAAAAUUGGCUGAAAAGAGGAAAACUUAGUAAAUUAGUACAGAUACAGAAAAGGAAACAAGAUCAAAGGUUCGCCCACUUCUAAAAUAUAUGUUGAUUAAACUAAAAGGAUAUUAAUGCAUCUAGAUGGAUACCUGUCAUCUGAUCAACUGCUUCAGCUGGUACAUCCUUGCCCAUCUCCUUGAAACGUUUUGCUGCCCUGGAGUUGAGUUCACUUGGCAAUGGGAACAUGACCACAGCAAUCUGUAGCAUACAACAUACAAGCAAUCCAACAUUACCAUUUGUUAAUUCAGUAGCAACUCGUACAAAAUGGCACGCCUCUCUUUUGGCAGCUUACUUUGCGGUAGUUUGCAAAUGGUCUCAACUUGCGAAUACGAGCACUUCUGUACACGUUUGUUUGGUCAAUGAUGUAAUUUCGAGGGACCUUUGCAGCUCUGUCCAGCAAUUUGUUGAAAAUCGCUGUAGCAUGAUCCCUCAAACGAUCAAAACGCUCGCCAUAAUUGUGCUUACGCAGCAAUCCUGGCACCUACAAAGAGUGUCAUAAACUCAAAAUCAAUUCAAAGUGAAACAACAUAUUAGUUUGAAGGUGAGCAGGAUCGUGGCAAAACCUUCAUUUGGUCCAAUGCAAGGUUGGUUCCAAGAAGGACGAAGCGCUUCUCCGGAUGUUCCUUGACCCACUGCUCUGCCCAAGUAGACUUCCCUGACGCUGGGAGACCAACCAUCAUCCUAACCUCACAUUCUCCCUGUUCUACAAACAUGGGGCCAGACACCGCAUUCCCAUCUGCAAAAGCUGAGCUCCACGGCUCAUAACCAUCAACCGGUUCCAGCCCGUCCUCCUUGCUAAACUGCAUCUCAACAAUAACAUUCUUCAGCAGAACAUGUGGAAAUAUUGCCGAUUCCCAUUGCAUUGGCCUCACAGGAGCAUCAACCAAACCAAGACCCUUCUCACUUGAAUCAAAAUCACACCUAUCAAAAAAAAACUAGCCCCUCCGUCUCAUAAUUCUUGUCUCAAAUUUGCCUAAAAAUGGAUUAUUUAUUUAUUUUAAACGUUUAGAUACAUGUAAUAUUUCAACAAGAAUUAUGAGACGGAGGGCGUACGAUUGAUCACCUGCAUUUGCAAAGAGCUUUAUGAUCCUUUGGAGCAUGUACAUCUGAAGAGUGCAAACAUGGCAAUUUUAUCAGGUGCCAAGGUUUCUUUUCAUUGCGUGAAUCUAAAAAAACAUAGUAACAAGAAAAACGCAGAAUACCGUAAAUUCAAACGGGAUUUUAACACUGAAACUUUUAUAGUGGUAAGGUAGGAACAGGAAUACUCUAACUGUUACAAAAUACUACAUCCAUUUCAAGUUGACUGUUACACUUUAUAAAGUUUGACCAAUCUUAUGGAAAAUAUAUGGUACCAAAUGAAAAUCAUUAGAUACAUCAUAAAACACACGGAGUAUUUCGUAAUACUCCUUCCGUUCCGAAAUAAGUGACAUGCCGGGAAGGAGAGAGUAUAUCUAAUGAUUUGACAUCUCGUUUGUUUUUCUAAAAAAAAGACAUGGUAUGUGUUAGAUCCUAAAUUAUGUUGUGGUUUUAGUACAAAUUUGAAAGCUAAAACCACGACAAAAAUUUAGGAUCGAAGGAAGUAAUAUAUUUUGCUCUGAUCUUAAUUAAAAUUAAAAAUAUUAAAUACCAAGAAAAGUCAUAGGGCUGAUAUAACAUUUUUGUUAUAUAUGGAAGUACUUACUGUCCGUUUUGACCAUCUUAUAAAAUCUGUCGGAAUCAAACCAGUCGUGGCGCAGUCAAGCCAAACAAAGCCAGGCACGGCAACGGAGCCAAGGAACACGAAGCUGCCUGCGUGCCGUGUGCCGUGCCGCGGCGUGCGAGAUCUGAAAGGCGCGAGGGAGGGAGUCGGCAAGAAGAAAUAAGUAAUUUUUUCGCGAAAGCCAGCGGUUGCCGCGCGUCCAAGUCCAGAUCUCGUCCCGGAUCCCAUGCCCGCCGGCGCCGCGCCGUUGUCCCACUCCCCCCCGCAGCCGGUGUGGUAAUAAUGGUGCGACCGGCGGGCCUCCUCGACCCGACGAGGCGGCGCCCGUUCCUCGACCAGCGGCGGCCGUCGUCCUUCAAGCGGCGGUGGCAGCAGCGGCCGCUGUGGGCCCGCCUCGCGCUGUCGCUCGUCCUGGCCCUCGCCUGCGUCCUCCUCCUCCUCGGCCUCGCCGGCUCCCCCGACCCGUCCUCCCCGCUCUCCACCGUGUCCUCCCGAUCCGCCACCACAGUCUCCUCCCCUCUCCUCCGUCAGGUAACUCGUCCCAUCUUACGCCAUUUUGGCGAAUCGUUUCCUCAUCUGGCUUGGAAGGACCCAAUAUUGUAGCUUUUAGUUGUUUUUUUUGAGAGAGGUGUAGCUUUUAGUUAUUACAACUGCUGCAUUUGCUACUUACUAGUUGUGUACACUAGAUUACUUGUGUAGGCUUAACUUAAAUCUUAUGAACUUUUUUAUGUGCAGAGAUCUUACCUCGAGGGCAUCACGGAUACACACAACAUGACAGAUGAAAUGCUGAGUGCCCACUCGUUUUCCCGUCAGCUUAUGGACCAGAUUUCUCUUGCAAAGACUUACAUUGUGGCCGCGAAAGAAGCCAGCAACCUGCAGUUUGUGGCUGAGCUUAGUGCGCUUGUACGGCGGGAGCAGAGCAUCCUCGCGCAAGCUGCAGCUCAUGGUAGCAUGGUAGUGAAGGAGGACGCAGAGAAGGCAAUUAGGGACAUGUCUGUGUUGUUCUUCCAGGCUCAACAGUUCCGGUAUGACAGUGCGGUCACCAUCAUGAAGUUGAAGGGUCAGAUUCAGUCCCUAGAGGAGAAGUCAAAAGCUGAGGCGGACAAGAGCACAAAGUAUGGGCAGAUUGCUGCUGAGGAGCUCCCAAAGGGACUUUAUUGCCUUGGUAUCCGGUUAACCAUGGAAUGGUUCAAGAGUACUGAGCUUCAGAGGAAGUUCUCAGAUAGGAGCCCAGCAGUGCAGAGUAAUCUAAGGGACAACAGCCUAUAUCAUUAUUGUGUUUUCUCGGACAAUAUUAUUGCUGUCUCUGUUGUCGUCAAUUCUACAACUCUGAACUCAAAGCAUCCUGAAAAGAUUGUCUUCCAUUUAGUGACAGAUGAAGUGAACUAUGCUCCAAUGAACGCGUGGUUUGCCAUGAAUGAUUACAGAGGGGCCAUUGUGGAGAUACAAAAGGUGGAGGAUUUCACCUGGCUCAAUGCCUCCUAUGUUCCUGUUCUUAAACAGCUCCAGGAUGCUGCUACACAGAAUUUCUACUUCUCCGGCAGUGGUAAUCGUGGAACACCAAUCAAAUUCAGGAAUCCGAAGUACUUAUCAAUGCUCAACCACCUGAGGUUUUACAUCCCAGAAAUCUAUCCUGAACUGCGUAAGGUGGUAUUUCUAGAUGAUGACAUUGUUGUUCAGAAGGACUUAUCAGAUUUGUUUACUAUCAACCUCAACGGCAACGUUAUGGGGGCAGUGGAGACUUGCAUGGAAACAUUCCACAGGUUCCACAAGUAUCUUAAUCAUUCUCAUCCCCUAAUCCGUGCUCAUUUUGAUCCUGAUGCUUGUGGCUGGGCAUUUGGUAUGAAUGUGCUCGAUCUUGUUGAAUGGAGGAACAAGAAUGUGACAGGUAUAUAUCAUUAUUGGCAGGAGCGCAAUGCUGAUCAUACCCUAUGGAAGCUUGGGUCUUUACCACCUGGGCUUCUUGCCUUUUAUGGCUUGGUUGAAGCAUUGGACCCAAAAUGGCAUGUCUUGGGGCUGGGGUACACAACUGUGGAUCCUGCUACCAUUAAGGAAGGUGCUGUAUUGCAUUACAAUGGAAAUAUGAAGCCAUGGCUGAAAAUUGGGAUGGAGAAGUACAAGGGCUUCUGGGACAACUAUGUGGACUAUUCACGUCCGCUGCUUCAACAGUGCUUCAUGCGCUGAUUAAUGUGUAUCAAUAUUAGAAUUUUUUGCGACCUUCCUGAUGGAAAUGAUUCAAAUCUGUAGCUUGAACAGUCCCACGUGAAUGGAAUUGAUUGACUUCAUUCACAAGUUACAACCUCGGAUUAAACAUGGACAGGUGUUUAUGCUGGUAUGUGUAGUUGAUGAAGUACAGCGACCACAGAUAUGACUGGCCACAGGUAAACAGCAGAAGAGUUAAGAUUGCCACUCAGUAGGCUGCUACAGCAUCGGUUACUUACAUUCAUAACUUGCAACCACCAAUGUAAUUUUUCGAUUUUGAUUUUUCCGGUGAGACAGAAGGAAGGACAUAAUUGUAGAAUUGAUUUAAAAUUCUUGGAAUGUCACAAGAAGUUUUGAGAUACAUAUUUAUUGGAUGUUCAGACAGAUCAACCUUUGUGGUUAUUUAUACAUUUUCAGAAAAAGAAUGAUGUUAAUAUCAAUUCCAGCUUCAUAAUUUAAAUUGCACUCAUAGCUGCUCAAUUUUGUUUUGCACUUUUUCUGCGUGAGUCCAAUAAAGCUUAUUUGCAGGUCACAGAUCCAUGCCUGCUGUGAAAAUAGGUCUGUUAGUACUGUUGUUCAUGUAUUCUUUAAGUUGGCGCAUCCAUUGUACUUGUACGGGUGCGAACCUGGCUUGACUACAUGUGGUUGCAGUAAUCAUACAUGAUAUAUUUAUGUUAAACCUUUUACAGAGAAAUUUAGUAUUGAAAGGACUUUCUAGCCACAGCUACCAUGCAGGUAAAUAUUAACAGGAGUAAAGUGUAACAUGGUGUACUAUUAGGAUCACAGAAGGAUCCACUUUCAAUGUUCAGAAAAGAAAUAUUAUUUAUGCUUCCAUCAGCUACAAACUGAUAACUAUAGCCGUAUCGCUAUUAUUUUCCCAUUUUUCUCUUCAGAGCUAUUCAGCAUAUCAUAAUGAUCUAGGUUCUGCCACUUAUAAAAUGCCUUUGCAAUUUUUCCUUUCUGUUCCUUCCACAAUUGUGUUGCAGUGAUUUUUCCAAACAGUUCAUUUAUGGGUUUGCUGUGGCAUCUCCAUCAAGAUUAUUGGCAGCAACAUCGGUCCUCUUCCUCCUUUUGGAUCUGGACCUCCUCCUCCUAUGCCUCUUAGUUGUUUCUUUUGUAUCAUCAUUAUUUGUGGACACACUGGGGUUUACAUCUGCAGGACGUGCCACAGGUUCCACAGCUUGCACUAUCUCUUGGUUGGCUUCACUCAAGCUAUCUUUUGAGGUCUUCAACCCACUGUCAGGGUUGAUUUCCUUUUCUGUCUCUCUAACAUCUUCUUUGUCUUCUUCCUUCUCAAGCAGCUUACUCUCUCUGCUGCGGUAGGUGGCAUCGCCUUGAGAGUCUUCUAAUUGUCUCUUGCCAUCUAUUUCUUCUUUGCUGACUUCUUGACUGCCUGCCGAUUGAUGAAGUUCAGAUGUCUCAGAGUGAUUUCCCUCUGAAGUAUCAUCUGGAUUUUGACUGCCACCACCUGUUUUCUGUUGUGCCCCAUCAUCUUCGAAAUUAGUUGUGAACUUGAUAAACUGUUCUUCUGAGGAACUAUCUUCUUGGUGGUUGCUCGCGGAUGUAAUGGUGUUGUGGGACUGCAGUUCUUCUGCUGGAGCAGGUACGGAAACACCGGAGUUUUCUUUUUCCUUGAGCAUCACGGUGUCAGGAGUUACAUCUUCGUUAUUUGUGCCCGCUACAAUUUUCUCAUCUUGGUGGUUGCUCUCCAAUGCAGUGGUGCUGUAGGAAUGCACUUCUUCUGCUGUAGCAGGUAUGGAAUCACUGGAGAUGACUUUUUCCUCUUGUAUCAUAGUGUCAGGAGUUACCUCUUCCUUGUUUGUGCCCGUUAAAGUUCUAUCAUCUUGUUGGUUGCUCUUUGAUGUAGUACUGGUGUUGUCAGAAUGAAGUUCUUCUGUUGGAGCAGGUGUGGUAGUAUCAGAGCUGGCAGAAUCCUUAACUGCUACAGUAUCAGAAAUUGUAUUUUCAUUGCUUGGGCUUAACACAAUGUUGUCCCUGACUUCUGUGUCUGGUUUCUUGUAGUCCUGGAACUUGGUCUUGAUCUCUUCAAGCUCGGCCUCUUUUUGUUGCAGGAGUUCCUUUAUAGCUGCCAUCUGGUCAGGGCCUGAAGCAGCUGCAAUCUCUUUCAUUUGGUUGAUAUGACUCUCUUUCUCCACAAGUGCUGCCUCCAAUUCUUUCUGGGUGUUGGUAAGAUAUGUGGUGGUGGUUUCUGAAUUCAUGACCUUGUUUUUCAGUUCUGUUCUCUCAAUACUCAGGAUAGACGUUUUAGCUUCCAGUUCAUCCACUUUUCUCCUCAUCUCUUUACUAAUUUCCUUUUCUUUCUGGCCAAAAUGAAAUAGCAAUGUCUGGUUAACGAGAUAUUGUUGAAUUUGAUAAUGGUUUUGUGAACAGACCGAUAAAAUUAUUUAUAAUGUGAUCGGCAAAUAGUUUAACCUUUGCAUGUGCUACAACUAUGGCAGUACUUACCAUCCACAAGUGAAUCAUUCAACAUCCAACCAUAUCCUUGUCAUAUCUAGUCUUCGCUUGAGCUUUUGCUAGCAUGCUAGUACUAACUAUAUCAGUGUUUAGCUACCACCGGCGAAUGAAUUUUCAUGUCAUAGCUAGUUGUAGCCUUGUAGGUUGUAAAUUAAGAGGAUGUUCAAUUGAAUAUUACAGUAAUGUUCUAACUCUCCAGCUCGAGGUUUCUGUAUAAAAGCUGUUAGCAUGGGAUGGAAAUCUUCUUCCGAGAUUUCUCGAUAUGAAUGUACGAUCUCCUUAUUUACAUUAUGCUCUUUGUUGGAUUAUAGGUAUCUUUUGUGAGUGCAAUUCUGCAGUGGUGUUAUCACCGUACUCCAGUUAAUUAGCCUGUGAUUAUCUGUGCAAGCCACACGCCAUAUUUGUAUUGCCUAUGAUCUAGGGAGCCUAAGUUAGUUUUAGUUCUUCGUAAUAGUGUGACCAUGAUGUUGAUGUAAACCCACUGUUAGAAUCCUUUAGCUACAGCCUGCAUGAUUGUUAAUGUAAGACUAUUUCAUCCACUUAAGAUGAUAACUAUAUUCAACUAUUCAUAAACCAGGAACAUUAAUUAUUUGGAACUGCAAAUCUUGGCGUGUAAAGUUUUUUUGGUUCGAUGUCGCAUUGGCAUCUGUGUUCUGGGACCACAUGGCAGUGUGACAAUGGAAUGACUGAUCCUCAAGCACACCUCAAAUUCUCAGUUUUUCAUAAGCCCCGGUACUGAAUAACAGGAGUAAAGUCAGUUAAGGUGGUUGGAGGUUUGGACUACUUCAGGUUUCAGUCAACGAAUCAUUAAAGUGGGGUAAUUAUAAUCUAGUCACUGUGCAAACAAAUGAGAUAUGGAGAUGAAACACUGUUCUUAAUUUCUUUAAUCAAAUAAGCACACAGAAAUAGCAAAGUAAUUCUGGUGCAUGUCAUGCCAGAAAUCGCAUCCAUACCUCCAGGAGGACUUGGAGGGAAAUGAGCUGCUGUUCACGUUCCUGGAGGAGGAUGGAGAAGACGCGCCGCUCCUUCAUCUUGUGCAGGAUGCCAACGCUCAGCAUGGCAGCGCCGAUGGCCAACAGCAACAGCAGCAAGUAGGGGAGCCUCUUUUUGUUGCUCAUUGUGUAGCUUCUUGAUCUGUGCUUACCUGCAUACAUGUCCUACCUGUAUCCACCCUCUUAUUAACAUCCUUUUUGGAUCUCCAGUCCUGCUCUGUUUAUUGCAGAAUGGGACAACUGUUGUGGCACAAGUAUGAAGAAACUGCACCUUCUUUUCAGUUGCUUGGAUCCUGGAAAGAAAAAGUUCAAUUGCUUAGGGAUGAAGGAAGAAGACAUUGGGAUGCUUCACUUACUUCAAGGUGAGGCACAUGCUCCUGAUAGUUUGAUUUAUUUGGGCCUUAGAGAGGCAGGAGUGUAAAGUUUGUCUCUCUUUGACUUUUCUUAGUGCCUUGUCAGAGUAAGACAUCGGCAAUAACCAUGUUACCUGCAGUUGCAUGUUAUCUCCCAGUAGAGAUAUCUUUGAUCAGAAGUUUAAUCGUAGAGCAGAGCCACAGUCCACAGUUGGCAUACACAUUACACACGGCAGCAUGGCAUUACCCAUCAAAUUCUGCAUUCUAUAAGCGCAAAAUAGACACACUUCCAUUUCUAAGCGAAAGCUGCAAAGCUGAUCAGAAUAAUAAUAAAAAAAGAAUCGAAGGUACUGAUCUUUUACCAGGCAAAACAAGUAAUUCAUGACCAAAUUUACUCGUUACAAGACAACUGGCGUCAUGUGUGUCAAAUCAAGGAAAUUUAUGAGAGUAUACUAUACAAUAUGUUGUCUAACAUUAAGCGACAAUAAUUGUAAAAAAAAUACCCUAGCACUUGAGCAAUAUGAAUUCAUUGUAUAUGGAAGAAUCCUCCAAGCUGAAGUGUUGUGACAGUCAUCUCUUCUGGAAUUUGCAAACUCAUACAAAAGGCACAUUAAUCCCUAACAUUUGCAACUAAUCCCUACAGUUCAAAGUUCCUAAUGAACUGGCAAGUCGAUGGCAGAAGUUAUCCAGUAGACAUGAUGCUUUCGUUGAAGUUCCUCCGAUCAAUGCAGCCAACUGAACUCUUCACAACCUUGAAUAUAGCUGCUGCUUUAAAUCACUCGUUGAUUUAACCAAAAGAAUCAUUUGCACAUCAUGUUUUCCUGGAUUAAGUAAGGAAUUCCAUUUGUUAGUUGGCACGUCAGAUGUAAAAACACCAACAGCAAGCAAAUUUGUGAAGUUGAUAAAUAUUAAGUACUCACUAACCAAUUUGAGUUAAGGAAGGGCCUAACCAUUCCGGCUAUGGAAAGUCUUCUGGUAACAAGUUGCUAUCUGACCUUCAGAACUUCUCCUAGGACAAGUGCCCACUGUGUCCAGUGUGUUCCUCCCUGCACCGAUACAUUUCAAGUGAGAAAGACCCAAAUUGGGAGUCCCUUAGAGUCACACAUUAAUAUUGUCUAUUAACCAGGAUUCAAGGAUGUCAAUUCUCAGCUGACCUGGCAGAAGACAGCGUAUGGUUCUCUUAAGGGACCAUCACAUGAUAGCUCACUUGUGCUUCCAUCCAUGAACGUCCCAUCAGCAAAAAUGACCUGAUUCAAGUGGACUAAUCAGAUAACAAACAUGUAGCAUUUGGAAUUGAAGCCAUUUUAGUUAGAAUUAAAUACUUGAAAUAAACUGCCCUAAAAUUUUAAUAGAAAGAAUAAUUAGAAGGAUCUCACAGAUCAGUGGUGGAAGGCAUAAACACACACCUCUGAAGCAUAGCCAGGAGUUUCCCCAGCAGUUGGUUUAACAAACGAUCCUACUGGGCAAGUUUGUUGAACAAUUUCACAGAAUGUCAUCAGUCUCUCCCUGUUUCCGAGCUCUACUGCCUGUCAGACAAACAAAAGAUCUUGUUUCUUCCUCGGUCUUAAAAUGCUGGUUGACCUUCUCUCAAGAUUAUCGAACUUUGAAUUAGAUGGUAUAUUCAGCCAGGUGUUUCUCCAUGAAAUUAAAACCUCAGAAGAGUACCAUUAGUUUUCUUAUUCUUCUCAAUUAAUGUUUAUUUUUGCAUUCUGUUUUACCUACAUCAGCUUUCUGAAUAUGUAAUACACUGUAACAGCUUUGCUGAUAUAUCAAAAACUCAUUUGUGGUGUAUCAUGCAUUGGUAGUUUGAUACAGUCAUAUCUUGCACGUGUGAACAUUAAUUUGCUAGUGAAUUAAUGUUGUUUUACUUAAAACUAACUUAAGGCAACCUGCACAAUAUCGUGGCGUGGAACCCUCGGAAGUGGUUGAACUCUAUAGCCCUUGGCUGACAUGACCUCUGCAAUUAGCAAACCUCCCUGUGGGAUAGUAUAAGUCUGUCAUUUGCAAUUGCAUCCAUAAUUUCCUAGUAGAGGUGAGAAUUGAGAAGCAACCUACUUUUACUGCCUCACCAACCAUCUGUGGUGCAAGAAACAAGCCCUGAAACAGUGCUCGCAUAACAUGGCCAGGUGCCGACCCAAACUCCACCCCAAGGCCAGGUGCAGAUAGGCGAGCAGCAGCUGCCGCAACCAAAUCUUUCUUCCCAGCAACAUAACCUCCACAAGGCGCAAUGGUUCCUCCGGGGUUCUUUAUCAAGCUACCAGCAAUCAAAUCUGCUCCCUGCCAUGCAAAUGCAAAAUUAGGUAAAAAUCUUUGUCAUCUAUAUGAUGUUCAUCAUGAACAUACCACCAUUGGAGGCUCUGAUGUCUCAACAAAUUCCCCAUAGCAGUUGUCCACCAUGACCUUGCAGUUUGGAUUUUGCAUCUGCAGUGAGAUCCAAACCAUGAACAAUGCCAGCACAUUAGUUAACUAGGUCUGCAAUAUGCUGGCCCCUAAAUUCAGAGCAUAAUCUUACCUUGAUCAAAUCGAUAGCUCUGCCAAUAUCAGCUACACCGAGGCUCUUGCGCCACAAAUAACCGCAAGACCUCUGUAUGAGCGCGCAUCCAGUCUCCGGUCUGACGGCACGUGCAAGAGCAUCCCAGUCAAGGCCACCAUCUGCCGCGAGCUACAACUGAAUCCCCAUUAGCAACACCCAUACAAACCACAAUGCAAGUUUGCAACACUCCGUAGCAGGUGUCAGAGAGGGGAGGAGAAUCGGCUCACAGGAACUUCUCGGUAGGUCACUCCAAAGUCCUUGAGUGAUCCCACGUUGGCCGAACCCCUGAUCCCAAUGACCUCCUCCAAUGUGUCGUACGGAGGCCCGGCCACUGCCAAGAGCUGCAGAAUUGAGGUUCUCAUCGAUCAGCUCUCCCUCGAUCCCCAGCAGAAUUUUUUUUUGUUUCGGUUCAUCGUGUUUUUCACCUCAUGUCCAGGCCGAAGGAGCGCGAACAGAGCGCAGGCGAUGGCGUGCGUGCCGGAGAAGAACUGGUAACGAGACAAGGCGUAAGAACUAAGAAGAGCUUGUCAUCACUGGGAGCUCAGCCAUGGAAAUUACCUGGGGGCGCACGAUGGCGGCCUCGGCGCCGACGACUUCGGCGAAGACGGAGUCGAGCACCUCCCGGCCGCCGCCGUCGUCGUGGCCGUACCCCGUCGACCCACCGAAAUGCUGCAAUUUACACGGACGCGCGCGGAUGGUUAUACGCGCUCGGUGGGUGGCAUUGGCAGCGAGCCAACAUCGGAGGCAGGGGGGGGGGGGGGGGGGGAGGAGAUAGAAGGGUUACGUGCGGGGCGACGCGGGCGGCGCGGAAGGCGGCGGAGACGCGGGAGGAGUUGAUGGCGAGCGCGCGGUCCACCUCCCGGAACUCCGCCUGCAGCGCCUCCACCGCGCGGGACACCUCCGGGUGGAACACUGCCGCGCACGCGCGCUGCCGCACCGCUCUCGUGGCGCGAGGCCGCCGCGCGAGGUGGGAGGAGGUCAAGGUGGUGGCUGUAGCCGUCGACAUCUCGCCGCCGGCGACAGCAACCCACACACUGAUUCCAACCGGCUUGGCUAGCUUCGGAUGUCAAACUUGACUGUUAUCCUCGCCGGUCGCUUCGGGCCUGAAAUGCCUUACUACUUCCCACGGGCAGCAGGCCCGGCCCAAUACAGUCCACGCACGACCGACCAGACGCAGUCCGUUCGGCCCGGCCCAUUGUUUGCGUUUCCGCAGCUGAUGCUUCAAGCAUCAGAAAUGCACACUGGCGCCUGCCUCCUUUCCUUUGCGUCCCUGUUGCUUACCUCCGGAUGCAAAGAACAGCAACCUCAACAGCAUGAGACGGUCAGAUGGGAACGAUUUUGAGGAGGAGAAGGUCGAGCAAACGGAGCUGUCAUUCUCUGCCGAAAGACGAACCACAACCAACAACAACUGUGGGCAGGGGCACGGAACGAGGCUAAGCAAAGCAUGCUCGUGAACAAGGAACACAAUGCUUGCACUCAAAGAAGGCUCCUCGCCCACAGCCUUUCUAUAUCAGCAUACCACACCUCGCUCCUGUGAAUCUUUACACCAGGCGCCGUGAGCGAUGAGAUCGAGGUGGCCAAUGGACUCCGCGGCGUUCCUGCUGGCAGUGGUGCUCGUUUCGGCGCCGGUGGCGCGGUCAUGGAGCACAGAGGGCCACAUGCUCACAUGCCAGAUCGCCCAGGUAAACCUUGCAAAGCCCGUCACCUAUGUUUAUUCAUCCGAUCAAACCAAAUACAUAGCAGCACUGAACUGUAUGGGUUUCGUUAAUUGCAGGAUCUGCUGGAACCUGCUGCCGCGGACGCCGUGAAGAACCUUCUACCCGAGGAGGCAGGCGGCGACCUGUCGGCGCUCUGCGUCUGGCCUGACCAGGUCAGGCACUGGUACAAGUACAAGUGGAGCAGCCCGCUGCACUUCAUCGACACCCCUGACCAGGCCUGCAGCUUCGUCUACUCGAGUACGUCGUUGGAAGAACUAGCAGUGUAAACUCUGUUCUGAAUUUCUAAAAUUGAUGGACUAGAUUGAGAUGGUGCAUAAUCGAUGAUUGUGGUUUCCGAUGGACAGGGGAUUGCCAUGACCCUAGCGGUGCCAAGGACAUGUGCGUCGCCGGUGCCAUCGCCAACUUCACGUCACAGCUUAUGCACUACAAACACGGCAGUGCUGAUCGCAAGUGUAAGUGGGGUGUUGAUCUGAACCAAUGUAAUUUCUGUGUCCUACUCCUUAAGCACCUUUUUUUUUUGCAUAUGGUUGUAACACAGAUAACUUGACUGAAGCCCUGUUAUUCUUGUCACACUUCAUGGGAGAUGUUCAUCAGGUAACUUUAAUCUGGUAUGCCUGGUCCUUGUAUAGAUCAGUCUCCAUCGACUAACAGUCUAACAUGAUUUCUUAUGUCCAUGUAGCCCAUGCAUGUGGGGUUCACAAGUGACCAAGGGGGGAAUUCAGUGAACCUACGCUGGUUUAAGCACAAAUCCAACCUUCAUCAUGUAAUCAACUCCCAUGAUCCUUAUACAGAAUUCCAUGUAACAGCAACCUGCGACUGAGCUUAACUCUGGAUUGCGUCUGGGAUGCUUUCAGGUAUGGGACAGGGAGAUCAUACUCACAGCUCUCGCUGAACACUAUGGCAAGGACAUGGAUGCAUUCCGAAAGGACCUUGAGCACAACAUCUCCAAAGUAAGUGAAAAUCCACAUGCACAAACAGACUCUCCCAAUCCAAGAAACAUGGGAUUUGCAGGCUAAUAUAUUCCCAAUGCUUCAUCCAGGGCGCAUGGUCCGACGACAUAUCUUCAUGGGGAGACUGCCAGGACCUCUUGUCUUGCCCAACCAAGUCAGUAUACAUUUUCCAGAACUCCCAAAUCAAGUUCUGAUAAAUAAAUAAUCCAAAGGAGAAAUACCUUUUUUUUUAUCAUUUGGAUUCGUGCGACAGGUACGCUACUGAAAGCAUAAGCUUGGCAUGCAAAUGGGGGUACAGCAGCGUCCAUGAUGGGGACACACUCUCUGGUAAACCACUAACAACUCCUACUUCCGGCUCCAUCUAACUCAUGUUUCGGUGUAGUUUAUGAAAUUCGAAUUCGAAUGGUAUCCUUGCCGUAAAAAUCUCCGAAUCUGAGUUUUGAAACAAUGACUGACGAGACGGAGCCAUUUUCUUGAAAUUCGCAGACGAUUACUUCGCUUCCAGGCUCCCGAUCGUGGCGCGACGGAUCGCGCAGGGGGGAGUGAGGCUGGCCAUGAUCCUGAACCGGGUCUUUGGGGAGAGCAACCGCGACGUCCUUGCGUGGCCGAACUUGGCUGCUGCUACCGAUGAACUGUAGAGUAACACAAGCCGACGUCCAUGCUGUAUACUCUGAUUUACUGAUGUCUUGCCCUGUAAUCCAAAAGGUUUCAUUGCAUCCAUGUUACGUGUGACCUGACCGCUUGCACAAUUUGGCUAGUGCUGACUUGUAUCUAAUCUAAGAUUAAUGGUGUUACGUGGGACCAGUUUAGUUGAGUUCCUGCGUGAGAUUAACGAUGUGUCUAAUCUGCACGUAGCAUGCGAGAUCUGUCCCCGUGGGCUGGUACAAGUUACCGACUCAUAAUACUAGAGACCAGAGUCCUACCUGGACACGACAAGCACAUCUCCGCUGCUCAUGUCCUAAUGAGGCUCAUAGUACUCUGACCAUUAACAACUCGUAAACUACCAAGUUUGGAUUAUUUCCAACAAUCACUUCCUAAUCCAAACUUGUCAACUCAUGGACAUGACUUAACGUAUGAUCCAUUGAAGAUCCCAGAUCGGCGGCGUUACCCGCCGGCGUCACCGCCUACUGCCGCCGCCAGCGCCAGGUGAACUUGGAAGGCUUCACUGAGGAUCACCUCAAUCUCGCCGGCGCUCUGUAAUCUUUUUUUACAGCUAUUUCAGUUUGUUAUGUCCGGUUCAGUAGUUAUAAGUUUCAGUAGCUAAUAAAUCGUCCGAGUGUGGACUUUUUCGGCCGUGCAAUGUAACGGCUUGGAACACCUUUACCUUCUUUCUAUUAUGUAGUUGGACCUCGCUGCGAUCGGGACGUGGGAUGGCACGUCAUUAGUGGGUCAAAGUGGGCUAGUAUGUCUGUUAGCGCAUAGUUCGCAUGUAAUCCGGGAGAAUAAAAAGAACUCUUGCGUCUCCUCGUGUGUGUGUGCCCAGUGUAGAUGCGUUCGUGUGAUGGUGUGCAAGGACCUGUUGUUCUACCCUGCCGUAUGAUGAGUACAUUUGCAGAGAAGUUGUUAGUUAUGUGCCUGGGCCGGGGACAGCCCAAACCUUCCUUCCUUUAUUUUACCCUCGCCUGGGCCUUGGCCCAGCCUCCUUGAUCGAUCGAUCGCUCGCGGCCGCAACACCCGCAGGCAGCAGGCUCCGGCGCCGCCGCGGCUUAAUCAAUUCUUCGGAGUUCCCUUCCAAGUUCCAAACAUGCUCCGUUUCGCUUCAUCGAAGAGCCCUAGCCAUUUGUCUCCUCCAUAAAUACACCAAAAACCCCAAGCCCGAAUCCUUCAGUCACACACACCACCGGCCGGCUCGGAUUUCCGUCCCCGAAGGGCCGCUCCGCUUCCGAUCUGCUUCGCCGACUCCGCGCGCGCUAGGUGAGCGAUUUCGAGUCGAUUCCUUCCACCCACAAGCUUCUCUAGCUACCUCCAUGGCAUGCCCGCCCUCGCGACUUCCUGAGGCCGCUGGGGGCUCGCAACCGUGAACACGCUGAUUAUUUGUGUUGUAGGCCAAUCGUAGUAUUAUUCUAGAUAUGCAUGUUUAGUUACCAGUUCAAAACAUUACUCUUGUGUGCAAGCUUCUGUUUGGAUAUGUUAUACUAGCUAGUGUGCAAAUAAUCAGCAGUAGAUUUUAUCAUGUGGUUGAUGAGGAUCAUUGUUUGUUAUUUCCUGAUGAGUUAUUGGAUAGUUAAUACCUUGUACUAAGAGUAGCUUUCUGGUAUCAUUAGAAAUUUAGAAUCCAUGCUUUAAGUAAAAAAAAAAGAUGUGCUUCUUGUGUUGUUGCAGUUUAGUUUUUCUUAAGUAAAUUAUACUUCUGGUUUUAAUUUACAUUGCUUGUGUGUGUUUAACGAGCACGUUAGGACUUGCUUGUUUAUGGGAUGAUUGUACUACCUUGUUUUAGCAUUGCAAAGGUUUUAAGUUGUAUAUCUAUGGCACCAUCUUUGGCAUUGUCCUUUAGUCAGAACGCUAGAACCCAGCUAUCAAUGGAAGCCUUCUUAUACUAGCUACAGAAUUAAGAUAUGUGGCACGAGUAUAUAUAUAUGAGUUGUGGAUAUGAUUGUACCUUCAAAUUUGUCCAUUUCUUCUUUCUAAAUAACAAGCUUUGUGUAUCUAGUGGCUAUCUUUAGCAUUUAACUGACUCAGCUAUCAGUGGACGCCUUCUCUACGCUUUGACAGUUUGACUGACAUCUACCUUCUCUGGUUCUCCAAGUAAUGCAUUGCAUCUAGCCACAAAGGGACUGGUACGCCCGGUGGCACCACUGCUUGCUCACCCUCCUUUUCAUCUAUACUACCUCAGCAGAGCACACCAGCGAAGGCUAGUGCGUGUGCGUGGCCAUGGAGGCUCUGCGGGCGACCACCGCACGUCUCUUCGAGCUCGCCAGGGCCGUCCACCCGCGACGCGCAGCUCUGAAGCUCCUCAGGCAGCGAGUGACGCUCGCCCUGGUGAUCGCCAAUCUGGACCGCGCGUUCUGCGCCGACCUGAACAAGGCGGUCACCGAGGUCUGCGACGCCUUCAGCCGCGACGCCGGCGAGGCGGCCGACCUCGCGGCUCGCCUUGACGCCAUGCGCCGCGGCGGCAACGGCAACGGCAAUGGCGGCGUCCCUGCCGUGGCCUCCUCUCCGCUCCUGGCUUCCAUUGCCGGCCUCUCCGGAGACGGCCUCUACCGUGCUCUGAUGGCCCUGCAGCUCCCCGCGGCCGCGCCGGCGGAUGUCCACCUCGAGGCCGCUCUGGCCGCAAAGCGCUUAACCCUGCGCGACAGGCUGGACUCGUUCAUCGACAUCCUUGGAGCGAAGAUCGGCGACGUGCCGGAGCCAGAGGCCUGCACCCGCUUCUUGGCCUUCCUGGACCGCCACAUGAGCUUGGACAGCUACAUUGAGGCGCACCUCAAUCUCGCCGGCGCUCCACCACCUGCAGCUAGCUAAGUAAUGAUGGUCGUCCACAGGUGCAGCUCGCCGUCCACAAGUUAGCUGCACACCAGAAACAAGAGGAGGGCUUGAUGCAUGAUCCUUCAUGGUUGAGCCAGCCAACAAUUGUUUACUUACGUCUCUAUGUAUGCUAUGCUAUUUCAGUAUUUCUGAUCAGUGCUGGAUCGUGCAAGUCUAUGUUAAGUACGUAGUACCAGUACUAGCUAGCCUGCGUGUCAUGCUAUAAUUUCGUUUCAAGACAUUUGUAAUGUAUGUUCGUCAUUAUAUCUGUUCCCUAAUUAAUCUAUGUUGCCUUACCACAGCACAUGCUCCAUGCACUAUAUGAAUGUACUCUCCCCCAUGAAACGUAAGAUUAGCCCUUGGAGAAUUUGUUUUAGUGCUAUCCCCCAUCGCAGUUAAAUGGAUCUAUGCUUAACAAAAGCCCCCAAAAAAAAAACCGGCGUCGCGGUGAGAAAAGAAAAGGCCGUAAAAUCUGCCAGCUGUGGUAUCAUUAUAAGGACGGAUGGGACGCAUGGCAGCACAGUUGGCCCUUGCAGACAGCAUUUGUAGCUCUCCGUGCUGACUUUCUCCAACUCUGUGGUCAAAGCAAUGAAGAACUCUCUGCAUGGCUACGCUUGCAUAGAGCGUCAGAGCUCUCACCUAGCCAAGCAAGGUAGAGGCGUCUUCUGCUGCCCUCAAGCCUCUGACUGCAAGCAACAUUUCUCUCACGCAAGCUCAUUUAUUUAGACUUGUCAAUGCAUCUACACAAUGUAAUGUAUGUUUGGGAUCAUUAUGUUCCCUGAUUAAUCUAUGCUAAUUUAUAUCUCCUUUAGUUUCACUCCAUAUUUGUUUCGUACGUAUGACUUGGCCCAGGCCUAGCAGUGCGUCGCAGUUAACUGGAUCUGUGGCUGUCCACUCCUGCAGAUUUACGGACUGACGGGACGCUCGAUCGGAUGUCAGGUGCGGCCCAAGCUUUGACCUCGCACUCUGUGGCUGUCCACUCCUGCAGAGAGAGCAUUCGUAGCUCUCCACUGUCCAGUUCUCCAACUCUAUGGUCAAAGUGACAAGACCCCUGCCAGGCUAGUCUUCUCGUGCUGCCCAAGCAUUGACUUUUCACACUGCAAGCUCUGACUAGUCCAAGACCGCACAGCUCACACUGCAACCAACAUUAUUUCCCUCACGCAAGCUCGCUCCUUAAUUGGUAUCCUCAGCGAAGAAUCUACACGCGGGAGAAAAGGGUCGCUAGCUCGCCGCUUGUUUGUAUGUUCGUUGCAGAGUGGAGUAUACUCACUCAGAAAUAUUCACGCGUGCCUCUCUACAAAAUGGAAAGCGCUAGCGACAUAAAUGUGUAUCCUGGGUAGAUCUGUUAUCAUAAUAACAUUCCUUUUUUAUAGGCUUAAAAGACUGUUUAAAGGGACUGGCAGGCACCACGGCUCACCCAGCUCAGUCACCCUCAUUUUAAUCCACCUCAUCAGUGCACACCACAACUCCACAAGUCAAUCCGAUCGGCGGCGAGCGAAAACCCAGUGCGUGCACGUACUGUUGGUGUUUGCGGCCAUGGUCUUGGUCACGGGGCCCUUGUUCCUGUCUUCCUGACCACCAUGCGUCUGCUGGUGCUCGCCAGGGACGCCCGCCCGCGGCGCGACGCUCUGGAGCGCCUCGCGGACCUGGUGAUCCCCUCGCUCUCCUGCGUCGCCUUCCACCCCGCCGCCUCCGCCGACUUCAACAGGGCCGUCACGAGAGUUCUGCGACGCCUUCAACGCCGCCGACUGCCAACUGUACUUCACAAAAACACACAAAACCCCCGGCGUACUGCCAACUGUGGUGUCAUUAUGAACUGACGGGACUGCAUUGGUAGCUCUCCGUUCGGACUUUCUCAGGAAGCGACGAAGAAGCCUGCAAGGCUAAGCUUGCAUAGAGCAUUGAUAGCUCUCCGUUCCGACGUUCUCCAACUAUGUGGCCAAAGCGAUGUGACCCUUCAGAGCUGUAACACCCAGGCAAAGAGGGGUUCUCCCUGCUGCCCUGAAAGCCUCUGACUGCAAGCAACAAUUUUCUCACGCAAACUCAUUUUGGGCCCCCUGUUUAAAGCACCUGUCACCACGGCCCAGUAGCACACCCUGCAUUUCGCGCGAUCCGUUCGGCAGCGAGCAAAUUAAGCCGACACCGAGAGAGACCAGUGCGUACGCGUUCGUGGCGGGCCAAUGGAGGCUCUGCAGGCGACCAUCGUCCGUCUCAGCGAGCUGGCCCGGUACGCCCGUCCGCGGCGCGAAGCCGUGCAGCGCCUCAGGGAGCGGCUGGCGCUCGCCAUGGCGCGCGCAAGGACGGACGGCGCCUUCCGCGCGCGUCUCACCAAGGCGUUCGACGAGUUCUGCGACGCCCUCGGCGCCGGCGCCUGUAAGCUUGCCGACCUCGCGGCUCGCCUCCAUGACGCCAGGCGCAGCCGCGGCGUUGGCGACCCUUCUCCCGCGGCCGUGGCCGCGUUUCGGCUCCCGGCGGCUACCUUUGACGGACUCUCCGGAGUCCGUCUCUACCGUGCUCUGAAGGCUCUGCAGCUCCCCGCGGCCGCCCCGGCGGAUGCCCACCUCGCGGCCGCGCUCGCCGCGCAGCGCUUCGUGAUGCAGGAUAAGCUGGACGCGUUCGUCGACGCCCUUGGAGCCAAAGUCGGCGUGGUGCCGGAGCCGGCGGCCGUCCGCCGCUGCGGCGCCUUCCUCCACCGCCAGAUGAGGUUGGAGAACUUAAUCGAAGCGCACAUCAGUCUCGCCGCCGCUGCACCGGCCACCGGCUAGUUGAAUGAUGGUCGUGCAUUCCUGGGUGCCGCUCGCCGUCUAACAAGCUGGGGCUGCUGGGCAGCUGGCUGCAGACAGGAGGCAAGAGGAGGGCUUGAUGAUGUGAUGCGUUCAUCGUUGAGACAACAAUUAGGAGUAUUUACUUAUGUCACUGUAAUUUCACAGGAUAACUGGUUGAAGAAAUGAAGCAAGCCCACGAAACCACUCACUCUGAGACAAAUUGAUACAAAAAUUGUGGUUCUGCGGACGGUUUUCGUUAACUGUGGCUCAAAGACACGACUAUCCCAAAAACUAUGAUUUUGUGAAAAAUUACUCUUUUAAAAAAGUUGGAGAUAUCUAGGUUGCUUGAUUUUUAAACAAAAUAUUUAAAUCUAAGUUGACGAAUCGUAUACGAUGGACUAGUAUGUAUAGAUGUCAUUUUACCUUUUUUGUUUUCGGUUUUUUUAUAUAUUUAAGUUGUCUGAUUUUAGUUAGAAAUAACUUGAUUUCUCGGCCGUUGGAUAUGAUUUGUGCUUUAAGAUUCGAAAUAGAUGACGAAAAGAGUAAAAUGAGACCUAGAUACUAUUCAUUGGUUCUAAUUCGUCAACUUAGAUUUAAAUCUUUUGCUCAAAAUCAGACAACUUAGAUCCAGGUACGCCCUAUUUUUACCACACGUUUUUAAUCUUAAAGCACGACACAAUUUGCAUCGUCCCUUGGUCAGCACCCGCCACGCGCCAGAACCUGGCUAUAUCCUUCACUGCACUUUGACCGACAUACAAGUACUAACCCUUCUCGGCUUCUCCCAACAAUAAUGCGUUCCGUCUUCCCCCAUGCAUUUGAACUCCGUACGUAGUGUGAGCUCAGCACAAUUUGCAUCCCUAUUUAAAGGGACCGGCACCUCGAUCCAUCAGCAGCGCACACACCACCGGUUGAUCCGAUCGGCAGCUAGCGAGCAGAGAGCAGAGACUGCGAAUUGCUGGCCAUGGACGCUUUGCGGGCGGCCACCGAACGUCUCCGCGAGCUCGCCAGGGACGCCGACCCGGGGCCCGAAUCUCUGGCGCGCCUCAAUGCCCUGGUGACGCGCGUCCUGUCGUCGGAAACCUCUCCGGCCCGCCUGGCGUGGCUCAACAAGAGUAUAGGCGAAAUCUGCGACGGCUUCAGCCGCGACGCCGGCAAGGCGGCCGCCCUCGCGGCUCGCCUUGACGCCAUUCGCCGCGCCGGCGGCGGCGGCGGCGGCGGCACUCCUGUGGCCUCCUCGUCUCCGCUCCUGGCUUCCCUCGCCGGCCUCUCCGUAGACGAUCUCUACCGUGCGCUCAUGGCCCUGAAGCUCCCCGCGGCCGCCCCGGCGGACGCCCACCUCGAGGCCGCACUCGCCGCGCAGCGGCUGGACCUGCGUUACAGGCUCGACGCGUUCCUCGUCGCCUUUGAAGUUGAAGGUCCCAUCGAAUUCGUGGCCGCCCUCACCCACGCCGCCGGCUACCUCCGCCGCCUGGCGAUCUUGGACUCUUUCGUUGAGAAGCACGCCAAUCUCGCCGGCGCCGCUCCACCACCAGCUAAUUAAUGAUGGUCGUCGUCCGUCGAUGCGGCUGGCUCGCCAUCAACAAGCUAGCUAGCUGCGUCUGCGUGCAGACCAGAAGCAAGAGGGAGGGGCUCCCGUUAUGAUUCUUCAUCGUGUUGAGCCAACCAACAAUUAUUUAUGUCUUUCUCUCUAUUAUGACAUAUGCUAUUUCUCAGUGCUGUAUCGAUCGAUCAAAUCUAUGUUACUGUAAUUCUGAAGUACUAUUCUCCGUCUUCGUGUUUGCGUGUGCUGCUAUAAUUUCGUUUGAAGACAUUGUAAUAUUUGGUAUGGUUCUCACUAUGUUCCUUAUAUGUUGCUUUGGUAUUACUAGUAUACAUACUUCAUGCACCAAGAAAGUAUUUUUUUCCUCACGUUUAGUUUCAUUUCUGAUAUGGUACACUCAAAAGAAAAAACAUAAGGUCCCAUAAGAUCCGUGUUUAAGAACUCUGAAAUUAGUAAGCUUCUGAAGAGGUGAUGGUUGGGAUAUCAAAAAGAGGUCUUGGAAUUAGAAAUUUAAGAACUCUGAAUAUCUGUUUGCUCUCUAAAUGGUGGUUGAAAUUGGAACAUGGAGAUGGGAUUCUGCAGCAAAUUAUUAGGGCGUGUAAAAAGAUGUGACGUCAGCCUUUUCUUAAACUUGCCAUGUAGGAUAAUUGCUGAUGUGAAAGAGAUAGACGUGAAGGAAAAGCAUGAGCCUUCUCUUAGUUAAAAGAUGAUCUUUUCACAAGAAGGAUAAUGCAAAGAAAAGACAAAUUCUUCAUCGUACUGGAUUUCACCUUUUUUUAACAUUUAUUUAAUUAAUUUUAUUUAUGGAUUUAGAUAGUUGGCAGCCAAGUAGCAAUGCUUGGCCCACCGAAAAAAUCAGUGUGUUAACCCAUCAGCAGGGAACUCUUAAAAAAUCAAUUAAAAUGAUCUAAAAGGACAAUCAAUUGUCAUGAACAUAAAUAAUUUUCGAAGACUGUUGCAACGCACACGAUACUUAGCUAGUACGUUUUUAUAUACUCUUGCUUACGAAGCUAAGUAAGGAUACCUUACAAUUUUGUACAAACGGGUAAUCUACUAGCAGAAUCGAACUAGGAUCUUUUUAAUAUAUUCUCAAGUGAGACAAUUGUCAAUGGCGCAAUAUCUGCAAGCAUGUGGGAUUUUGUAUUUAAUUCAAUGAAGAGUGUUUCUCUAUGUUUGAGUGUGUCGUUUACUUAUUUGUAUACAAAUGAAUACGCAUACGGUUCAGAAGACAAUAUUUGCGCAUUAGUAGAACCCGUUCACCGGAGUGGUUUCAUUGCAGGGUUUUGCUAUUCUACUCCCUCCGUCCAAUAAUAUGGGGCAUAUUAGGGUUCGGUUGACCAACCCUUUGAUCACAAAUUACUUCAUAAAUAUGUGACUAAUGUGAUCAAAAUCAUUACCAUAAGUAAAUAUCCUUGAGUAGGAAUAUAAUGGAUAUGAAUUUAUGUCAUAUAAUCAUAUAUUAAUAAAGUAAUUUGUGAUCAAAGUAUUGGUCAAAGGAAAACUAAUACGCCACAUAUUGUCGGACGGAGGUAGUAGUUAGAAACAAGUCGAUGUGUUUGGCAGUCGGCACAUGAGAGAUGAGAUAGCGGGGAUGACAUCCAUAUUUUAAUCCAGCGGCUCUGAUACGUUGACUGAGAUUUAAUCAUUUGUCUUAAAAAUCAGGUGACUGAGAUAUAGUCACACUCUGUAAUGUUUCACUUGAAAUUAAAUAAAGUUAACUUGAAAUUAAUUUUUCACGGAUAAGUACAGAUGCAAGCCCAAUUCAGGUGAAAGUAUAAAUUACGCUCGCGAGUGCAGAUGCGUGUAGAUGCAAGGACCUGUUGUUCUACCCAUUUACAUUCAGAGAAGUCGUCAGUCAUGUUAUCAAUCUUGGCUUGCAGUUGCAUCCAUCGUAGGAGUACGUCCACGCUACCGGCCUUCGAGGUUUGUAAUGGUCAGCUCGCCGCUGCCGGAGGUGACCACCUCUUCUUGCACGCCGAUAAGGGCCGCCGCCGGAUUGCUCAUUGGUGUGCAGACCACCGGCCGCCGCGGCCGCCCCGGCGCCUGUUGGUGCGACAGCAUCUGGAUCACGGCGGCCAUGGGAGGCCGUUGGCUGGGGCUCUCCUGAACGCACAGCAGCCCAACCUGGAUGCACGUGGCGGCCUGCUCCAUCUCCGCUGGCCCGCAGCCGCCGCGCACGGUCGGGUCAAGGAGCUCCAGGCUCCUGUCUUCUUCAAAUAGCUUCCAUGCCUGCACGCAUGAGCAAGAAACUCUCAAUCUGUCAAAGUCGAUCCAAUUUUAUUGUUUCCUCUGUAUAACUGUAUUUGCAUUUGCAGGAUGUACGGUAAGGUGUUUGAUUGCUUGCUUACGUGGGCUAUGAGGUUGAAACUCCGUUGGUUCCUCCUGCCACCGACGAUCUCCAGCAACAGCACGCCGAAGCUGUACACGUCCUGCAUGAACGACACCAUUCCGCCCAUGGCGUACUCCGGUGACAUGUAACCACUGCAAACGGUCAGGAGAUGGUAAGCAAACUAGCAAUGUUAGGCAAAGUAGCAAAGUUGCAUCAAUUGCUUACUAUGUGCCAACAAUCCUCUCCGUGACCGUCGACGAGCAGUCCAGAUCACCAAGUCCGGCGUUGCUGCUGCUGCUGCUGAAAAUCCUGGCGAUGCCGAAAUCCGAUAUCUUGGCCACCAUGUCCCCGUCGAGGAGGACGUUGGCGGCCUUGAGGUCCCGGUGGAUCAUGGUGUGCCUCGAAUCCUGGUGGAGGUAGACAAGCCCUCUGGCGACGCCCAAGAUGAUCUCCAUCCUCGUUCUCCAGCUCAACGACGCACGCCUCCUCGCAUCUGCUGACAUUUUUACUCUACUGAUGAUCAGCAGAACAAUGGUUCAAACCCCUGCAGAUAGGCACGGAAACGUACCGAAAAUGAAGGCGUCGAGGCUCUUGUUGCUCAUGUACUCGUAGACGAGGAUCCUCUCGGAGCCAUGGAUGCAGCAGCCGAGCAGGCGCACCAGGUUGCGGUGCUGCAGCUUGGCGAUCAUCUCCACCUCGUUCAUGAACUCCUUGAAGCCCUGCAUCUUGUUCUCCGCCGACAGCUUCUUCACUGCGACUUCCUGCCCGUCUGACAGUCGGCCCUAUCACAUUAAUUCGCAGGUCCAGUUAAUUAACAGUAAAACAUUUUGUCAUCCAAGAUUAGUAGACACAGCAUUCUAUUUCUAUAUAUUCUAACCUUGUAAACAAUGCCGAAGCCACCGCGGCCGAUCUCGUUCCCGGGGCAGAAUCCGUCCGUAGCGGCUCUGAUGAUCUCGAGCUGGUACGUCGGGCAUUCGUGGAAUGCUUCACCAAACAUGGGGGCUGACAUAGCAAGAAAGGAUUAGGUUCAGAUUUACCCUCCUCCCCACUGAAAUGGAAUGCACCAAGGUGUAGUAGGGAUUAACUGACCUUGUUUACUGCUGCGCCAUGCCUUUCUCCUUCUCCAAAUCAGACAGCCAAGCGAUAGCAGAAGCAGCGCGAACCCUGUAGCCACCGCUGCGAUGACCCCGACCAGCUUGUUGGUCUUAGUAGUUGCCUCUGAAGAUGGCAGCCGUAUAGUUUGUCAGUGUCAGAGUUAAAUGCAGGAAGAACAAUCUCUUCUCACUGAUUUGUUGAAUGACUUGUAGAGAAAACACUGAACAUCGUUCAGUUCCGUGCAUGCACAAAGUCCGGUUUCCUGACUUUGGUUUGGAAGUUCCAACCAACACGUGCGGUAUUAUAUGUUUCUUCUGACGAUAAUGUCUGAAACCAUUGUUCUUCAAGUCAAAGCUAAGGGGGGUGUUUUAUAUGGCCAGCCGGGUGCUUUGACUAAAAAAAAGCAUAUGUGUACGUUUGAGAAUGCUGAACAAAUAAGUAGAAUAAGGACCUGCAAACUUUGGACCUUUAACAUUCGUUUUUUUUAAAAUCCUUGUCCCAAUUUUCAAUUUGGAGUGGACUUGACUGGGUAGAAGAAGCAAAGUCAAACACGAGCAUCCAAGAAUUAACCCCCAAAGCUCCCAUUGCAAGAUAAAAUCUUACCACUAACAACUGAUUUGGUGGCAAAUCUUAUUGCUUCCUAAAAUUGAUUCGCUGUGCCUUCAAUUUUUUUUUUCUGAAAAGAAGGUCAUCCCCGUUUUCUGUAUCGAUCGAUGCACACAGUCAUAAAUUAUUAAAUAAGCGGUUGCAAACUAGAUUCUCGAAGAACGUACAGAAGUAAACACUGAAAAACAACAGAAAUGCGUCGAUCCUGGAAGACGAAAUGAGCACUUGUGAAUGGAGAAGCAGGGAGAGAUCGAUACAUACCUAGGUCCGACUUCGCGAGCCUGACGAAGAGAUCCUGCCCAGGCUCCACGAACCGCGUGUCCACGAGGUCGCCGAACCACUGUACGCAGCCGGUCCCGCCGCCCCGGAUGUCCGCCGCCGCGUACGCCGUGCAGGAGCAGUUAGCCAGGCACCUCCGCCCGCACUCCUCCAGCGUGGCGCCCGCGUCGACAACACUCCCGUGCGUCUCCGGCAGCUUCACACCACGCAGCACGUAAAACCCAUCCUCUUCCACCUCUUCUUCUUCCCCAGCUCCGGCGCACUUCCGCUGCAGCGGCGUGACCCGUGCGCAGCCCCCGGACGCGUUCCGCAUGCGCCACUCGGCCGGCGACCUCGGCGCGAACCCCUUGACGCAGCUGCAAACCACGGCGUCCACCACGUUGCACACCCCGAAGGCCCCGCAGAGCCCGUAGGUGUCGCACCGGUCUCUCGGCCCCGUCCAGAAGCUGCUCCACGCCGCCGACGGCCCGUCCCACACCAUCCGCUGCAUCACCCCCGACUCGUUCAGCACCACGCGGGACAUCAUCUGGGAGCCGCCCACCACGCGGUCCCGGAACGUGUAGGAGACCUCGCUGCCGGGUGCAUUGGUGAAGCGGAACUCGAACAUGUCCUCGAACGUCGUCAUCUCCGGGAUCCCGCUGAACCGCACCCCGUUCCACGGCCCCGUCCUGUACGUCUUCUUGCUCCGCCCGUGCCCGUCGUCGGAGUCCGUCGUCUUCCAGACGUGCAGCUCGGGCGAGCCGGCCGUGUCCAUCACGUAGCGGAAGGCUCCGGGGGACGGGUCGUCGGCGCCGCGCCAGGACGAGAGGGACCAAAGCGCGCCCGUCCGGAGGUCCUUCCCGGACCGCAUCCCCGACAGGAACGUGUUGGUCGGGUGCUCGAAGCUCUGCCACAGGAUCACCGCCUGCCGUUGUUGUUCUUCAUCCGUGGCGGCCACCACGACCAGGUUGCCGUUGUCCUGGAGCUGCGCCUCCGCCUUCACGGCCGCACCGGCGGAAGAGGAAUUCGACGACCAGAUGGUCUCGUUGUUUCUCGAGGCGUCGAGGAGGACGAGGCUCCCGCGGGCGGUGAGCGCCAGGACGGCGGAGGAAGGGGUGUUUAGAGGGCGUUCGCGGUUGGCGACCCAGACGACGGCGGCCGGGGAGACCGUGAACCAGAUGCCGAGGAACCACUUGGUGUUGUUGGCGAGGGGGAAGAGGCCCAGCCGGAACACGUCGCUGGGGGAGACCAGCUGAGGCUGCUCGCCGCCGGCGAUGGCGCUCGACUGGGUCAACGUGCUGCCGGCGGCCGAGGCUGGGACGAGGAAGUACACGGACAGCAGCACGAGAGCGAGGAGGAAGAGUGCCGGCGAUUGGGUCGGGCUCUUGCUCAUGGUCUUCGCUCCUGCUGCCCGUGCGGAUUGAAAAAAAAUGCGCGAGUACUGAAGACCGCUGCUGCACCCGGAGGAGAAUAUAUAUCAUCCAGUUUUAGACAUUUCCGACAGAGAGUUGUGUCAGUGUAUGUCUGUAUGGACUUAAACAAAUUGUUCCUACACUGACACGAUUCAGAACCGAAUCCAUUAACACCAACCAGUUGCAACACCGUACUUACAGUUUCAGGCCAAGCAAAGUUGUUGUGUGGACUAGAACAACUUGCAUAUAUUCAGUACAAGGACUCGUGUGUUUACGUACACAUUUCCGUUUUUCAGGAAUCAGCUGGGAAGUUUCCCUCGUUCUAAUUAAGUACGAUAUGGACUGUCGUGAUCAAGGAGAUGCCAAUGUAUGGCUCGGAUCGAUCGUUCUAUUCUUCGGUUAGGAUUUAUGACAAACUGUAGAAAAAGAAUUGGCAAGUCCUAGAGCAAGUGAGACGUCCAUGCCAACAAAGAAUUGACACAGUGAAAUGUUUUGGCACUAAUAUUCUUUUCAUUCGCUUCGCUCGGACCAAUCUACCCACUACGUACCUAAUCGACUUCUUGGCUGGCUGCCUCCGACGAGAAAGGACGAAUUAUAGGAGCGCACGUCAGCUAGAUUGCUGACUCGUCUUAUGACUAAUGGUGGCAUUUGCCAAGUUGUUUCGUUGUCUAUAGAUGCAGCAAUCAAGGAUUCUUGGUCAGUACUCUUUCUGCUGACCGGUGGUCUGACAUUAAUCUGACCUCCAUUUUACAAUCACCUUAUGUUACCAGGAUAAGCAGUGCGCCAAUUCAAUCAUAUCAUCGGGUUCAGCGUCAGUGUCAGUUUAUAGAACUUGUUUUCAUGCGACUGUUAAACUGGGUUAUGUAAGGUUCUUUAAACCUAUACUUUUGUGAAAGUUAAACUGAGGUAAUCAUGUGUUGGUUAGUACUCUCUCUUUUCCUAAAUACUUGUCGUGAGUAUUUAGGAAUGGAGGGAGUAUAAUUUUUCCAUGUGCUAGUGAUCUGUGUUAAUCUGUGGCUUCUAAACAGUUUUACCUUUUUAGUGACCUGCAUAAGAAGAAUUUUGCCAUGUGCAAAUCUGGAGGUUUUCUAUAAACUGAUCACACCCAGCAAAAUUCUGCAUUUAUGCGUACUGUUCUUUUUUGGCAUUUAUUGCAUAUACUUGUGGAUUCAUAUGUGGAUUACCAGUUUUUUUGUGCCUUCCAACAAGGAUUCAAGUCACCUCAACCCAUGGACUGCAGUGGCUAAACAGUCUCUCAGUUGAACUUUUAAGGCCAGUCCAGUACAAACAGUAGCUUUCCCAUCAUCGCGUCCUGGGUACAUACUGAGUUCCUGACUUGCUUCUCAACAAAUCAGCCCGGCCUGAAUCAGACGCUAUCAUUCAGGCCUCACCGCCUCAGCAGCACAUAACAUGAAAAGUUCGAUCUGGAGAGGAAUUUCAGCGUAAUUUUAUACUUCCACAUGCAGUGCACACAACGUCGAAAAUUCCAUGUGUUCCAAGCAAACAAGUUCGAACCAUAUCAAGUUUCUCAAUAGAAAAAACAUUGGUUUCCUCCUACUUCUGGAUACAAAAGGCGCUAUUAUAUAGAACCUCACGGCAACCAGUUAUUGCCCCAUAACCCUUUACAUGCCUUCAUGACAUUAUUUGUUUGGUAUGCUUUAAGGCAGGACACUUCCCAUUCAGGACUAUCCCGACUUGCUGCUACAUUACAUGCUACACGCGUACAAAAAGCAUAUGCUGUUGCUAACAACAAAAGAGGGCUACACACCUAUUCCGAUACUAAUGUUACAGUUGAAGGUAACAAAAGAGACCGAGGCUUUCCUGAGCUAGGUGGGCAACCUCAAACAAGUGCUGCUGCCCGAGCUGCUGCUGAUCAAGCAAGGGAGGUCCCGCACCUGGAGCUUCACGUUGCACGAACCCAUCGAGUCCAUGACUUCGACGCACUCCUGGAGAUCCGAGUCGUUCGCCAGGAUGACCCAUUCGUCCUCGUCAUCCUUGUACUUUAGCUGGAACGUCCCCGUUGACAGCUUGAACCUCUUCGCUAUUUCUUCCAGCAGCUGAUACCAGCCCUGUGAUGGCAAGAACUUGAACCGCACGGUGUCCCCGUUGUACGUAGCCUUGACCGUGAGUGUAGGUCCGCUUUUGCCUUUAAGAGCAUGCCCUGGCUCCUUCUUGAAAGUAGGAUGGCUUGAUGCGCUUCCGCUAGAUGAGUCUGUCAUACCAGAGGUAGAAGGAUGGGUGUGCUCCCUGGCUUCAUGAUCGUCAACCAUAUUUGUUUUUUGAAACGCAUCGUCAACCAUAUCAAUAUCUGCUUGUUGUAAAGAUGGUGAGUUCCUUCCGACUAUUUGGUCUCCUGUGUUCUCAGCAGUUGGACGGGCAGAGACAAAAGGACUCACACAACCUGUUUCUUUGGGAUGAAAAGCACUAACUGUACCAACAGGAUAUGAUUGUCCUUGUGUGCCUUCAGGACUGACAUGUGGUGUGACAUUCGCACCAUAAGAAGUGUGAUUACCAAUAUCACUGUGGUUGCUUGUCUGCAUGUGAAACUCACCACCUUCUCCUUUCUCCGCAUCAGAGAGCUGCACUUGGUAACUUUCACUUUGCCACCCAUCAGGCGAUGAGUAAGCUUGCUCAGAUUUUGGGACAGAUUUUUGCUCCACAGUUUUUCCAGAGGAUAGAGCAGGCAAAGCAUCAGUUGAAGAAGCUGGCCUCUUCUCUGGCAGAGAGGCUGCCGGAACAAGAGAUCCAGUCCCAGGAUCAUACUGCAAGGAGCUGUCGACCCCAUGAACAGAGUUAAUGACAGUUUGGAUCUUUUUUAGUGAACGGUUCACCUUGUUUAUCUUGCGAGAUGGCCAUCGCGAAAUUCCAUGUGCGCGGCAUAUCCGUUUCAAAGUUGUUGGGCAAACUGUGACAGUAUUAACAGGAAACUGUUAACAGAAGCCAUCCAUUUCAUUAUAUCAAAUUUACAAAACAUAGAUAGCACGUCACAGUACACACUCAAUGAGAGAUCAUUAACAAAGUGGCACAAAAGAUUUAGGGGCUCACCACCAAGGCUCUUUGCAGCAUCCUUUAGGCUCCCAGAGAAGUACUUACGAAGAACAUCCAAACUAAUGUUCUUCUCAGCUGUACUGCGCUUUUUCUCUGCAAGGCGCAUUGAACUAGAUUGUACCUGCGGUGCAGAAGAAGCUUGUUCAUCUAGAGGAUCUGAAGUUAAUAGUAUUGAUUCUGCAGAUUUAACCCAAUCUAAUAGACUAACCAUGCAACAAAGCUGAUUACAAUCCAACCAUGAGAACAGCCCUUUACAAUGUAUGGUAGAUUUUUUUUUUGAGGAAAGCCAAUGUAUGGUGGAUCGUGUAGUGGCAUGUUCAAAAGAGGAGUUGCUUCCGUUGCUACAGUUGGGACCCUUCUCAACUAAAAAUUCCAAUUUGACAUUAACUUAACUUAAGUAAUGCCCACCGGAUCUAACGCACAAUUAUCUGAAUGUGUAAUGAACCAUGAAAUUCAAUGAAAUUGAGAAGAAAAAUGUUGAAGUCAAGCGCAUUAUGCUUCUUCAACAAGACAGGUUCACAGAAAUGAUCCUACUGUAUAUAUGCAAGUCAUAUUUAUGUUGUGGAUAUAUUCAACCUAAACAUCCAUGCAAUAAUUUCAGCUCUGUCAUGCUAAUUAUGGUUAUUCAUAAAUCAGGACCAAGAUGGUUGGACAGAAUGUCAUCUUUAAGUAAAAAUAUAUAGUAAUAGAGCACCUGCUCAGGUUCCAUGUAUCCUUGCUUAUCGACCAAAGAUAGGUCCUGGAAGGAGGCUUCCGUGAUUGGUUUAUCACAAUGUGAUGAACUUUCGGAGUGGCCAGUUGGCGAGACACUUUCACUGGUUGUCUUGUACAAUACUGCAUUACGAGCAUCAACUUUAUCAACUUCUGAUUCAGCCACUGUUCGCAAACUUUUGCAUAUUCUUUGCAUUGUACUGGAGAGGUUAUUCAGUAACAUCUGUUGUUCUUCGCUGCCUUUGCAGUUGAUUGGGAGAAAGAAUUCUAAUAUGUAGUCAUCAUUCCCAGUGUAUGUGCUCCUUAGCCGGAUAGCAACAGCAGCAUGCAAACCAAACUUACGAGCAUGGUGCGCAAGUGGGUAAUCCUUAAUAUUGUAUUCUCUUAUAUUAGGUGAGAAGAACGGCAGAUUGGAUUUGAGUGCACGGCCCGCAAUACCCUGCCCUUUCUCAAGAGGACUUUCAGCACAUGCAUGAAAAAAGCCUUUCAUCUUUGCAUCAUUAACAUAACAGGCUGAUUCAUGAACACAGAGUAUCUCUUUUCCUGAUUGCGAACCAAGGCCACCAUCCCUUCCAACAACAUAAGCCCCAUCAAUGCCAUUUGACAUAGGAACCCAUGUAAGGGCCAGCGGAAGCAUGUGUGCAUGGCAAAUAGCUCUCAGAACAUCCAGAAUUUCAGUAAAGGCAGCUUUCUGAUUUUCUGUAUAAAACUGCAAAUGAAGAGACACCAUAUGUAUUAAACAUCAGUUCGCAAACAAAAUACUAAAAUGAUAACUUGCAUCCAGAAACGCAAAUAGGCCAUGUUAUAAGUAAAGAAUGGCACCUUCUGGUUGCUGCAAUCUUUUGUUGUCUUCAAGUUCACAGCCUACAUAAGAUUAAUGUGAUGAUAUCAAAUGGAAGUGACAAGAAAAAUCCCACAUUGUAGAAGAUAUACCCAACUAUCCAUUUGCAACCACAAAUGUGAUUACAAUUUCAGAUUCUCAGUGAAGUGAAGAAGCACUUAGUUAAAUUAUUAGGGGAAGAGGAUAAGAUAAUUUUUGUUGACAAGAUCAGAAGAUAGUGAGACAAUAGAAGUGGAAAACUAAGCAUCGUUAUGGUUAACUACAUAAACACGAAACAUUUGAGCAUUUGACAGAGUUGUUUCAACGGAAUUUGAUGCCUUGGAAUAUGCUGCUUCAGACCAGAACUACAUCUUGGACAUGUCUGCUUAAAAAAGCAUCAGCUAGACAACUAUGGAUCGUUGAGUACUGCCAUUCGAAUGUUAGUGUACACAUUUAUUCAUGUCAUAUGUAAAUGGCUGGGUGGACUAGCAUCUAUUCUAAAGUUACUCCAGUAGUGUAUAAGAUACUAUCAAUUAUAGCAGGAAGGGAGAUGCCAUAGCAUUCCAAAUGAUGCUCAUGGAGUGAAAGUACUACAUAAGCAGAUUAAAACUUGCCUGCAAGGCUUGGCGAACGUUGUCCAUCUCUGCAUUAAAAUCAGGCUUCUCCCUUUUGGUGAUAAGUUCAAGCACCGCACAGCAAGAGCCCUUGCUGGGAUCAUAAAUCGGCAUUGCAAGUGAUCCACGUACUUCGUGAUGAAGAGCAUACUCCAUCCUCAGGUACUCCGGCUUGCUGUAGUACAGAACAUUUGACGUCCAUUCAGGCACCCCGGAGAUGAAGACUCUCCCUGGAAGGCCUGGGUGCAGCCCAGUCUCCUCCUUCGCCGAAAACACAAAGUUCCUGGACACUUCUCUGUACCCUGCAAGAGACUGGUCUAGCAGAAAUGGCUGGUCGGAUGUACUCAGCACGGCGUGGCCCUCCUGCUCAACAGGCAUCCAGACUUGGGCAAGGACACCAUCACCCAACGACUCCCUGAAGAAGGACAGAGCCAUGAGCAUCCUGUCUGCGAGAAAGUUGCCGCCGACAGGUCUCGGAACCAAGCUAGUACGUCCUUGCCCAGGAUCACUAUCCGCACCUGGCUCGCCUGAGCUCCUGGCCACUCUCCCCGUUUCAGCUGGAUUCUCCGAUGCUACCAGAUCGUUCUUUUGAGGAGGUGCUGCCGCCACUGCCUCAGAUACACCAGCAUAGGCACCGAGAGGCAUAUCUUCACUCAUACCUGAAGCUCGCGGCGACGAUCCCAGGGAUGACCACAUAGCAAACAUCUGGUGUGCGGACGGAUCAUUCACCAAGGAGUAGAGCUGAUCGGCCAGCGAAGGGCUGCAGAGCUCCAAGUAUCCAUCGAAGUUCAUCGUGGCGGGGACACCAUAAGGAUCAUCUGAAGGCUCCGUCACCGGGCUGCCCAUGUUCCGGUUGCAGCCAGCACGGCUUGACGGCGCAGGCACGUCCAUGAUUCCGCUCCUCUCGGAUUGGUUGAAGAUACAGGCUUAGAGCACCUCCAAGAGAGCCCCCAUCCGACUCCCCGUAGUCAAAAAUGGAGAUUUUGCCCCACAAAAAACCCCUCCAGCAGCAUCCCUAUUCCAUCCCCCAAACCUAGCCGUGCGCCAAAUCGCCUCAGGGAAAGCCCAUACCUAGCCGACGGAGAACCGCCUGGCCUCGCCGGCUCGCCGGCCGAUGUGCUUGGUGGAGGCGCAGGUAGACAGAGGGAGCUAGGGAAAGAGGGAGUGGUACUGGGAGGUGGCGGCGGCGGCGCUGGGCAGGUGGCUGGCGGCGUUGGUGCCUGCCGGAGGCGGCUGGGAGUGGAGACAGAGGAGAAUCGGCGGACGCUAGCGAGUGGAGAUAGAGGGGAAUCGGGAGUGGAAGAGAUUUUUACGCCGAGAGAAUGGGAAACAAGAGAGAUGAACCGGGGAUUUAUCCAUUGACGCAGAAUUGAUGCAAAUUCUUGUGAUUAGAAUUGAUGUUUGAAGUAAGGAGUAUAAUUUAUUUCUCAAAAAAAUCUCCGUAUAAUAAUCUAUUACAUACAAUAUAUUAAAUUGGAAUCGGUGGUAAUGGGUGAUUGCCGUUGGUCGAUGUUGGUUGGUCAACUUCGUUAAAAUUACAAUUAAUAUGUCACUGUCACUUAUUUUCUUUCCCUCCCGUCUUAUUCACGAUUUUAGUAGCAGAAAUUUUACGGUUUAGAUUUACCGAAAGUUAUUGUACGGUCCAAAUUUGUCACAACAUAAUACGAACAGUCCUAAAAUAAAUCAAUCUCCUUAGCAUGAAAUUCAAAAUUCUUCGUAUCCAUCUCAGUAUGAAAAUCAAUCCGAACCCAAACAAAAUGUCUCGGUAUCAAUCUCAGUAUGGAAAUCAAUCCAAUCGAAAAAUCAAUGUCCAGACUUCGCCUCCACCGACUCGUGCUUGAUACACUUUCCGUUGUUCCGUAGCAUCGCACGGGUUCUUUUCUUUUAUACUGUAGGUUUUUUUCUUUUAUACUCCUAUUUAAAUAAAAUAGGAGUAUAACAACAUAUAUAUCAAAAUUUGUCUUAGACUUUGGUGUGCUAUCCUUUUCUUUUAUACUGUAUUUCAAACUUAAAAGGACGCGCUGCUUCCUAAUUUUUGUAGAGAAAAAAAACAUUUUUUUAGAAGAGUUGGGUUUGAAUUAAUAAUGCCCAAUUUGAUGGGCGUUAGGUGUUGACGCUGUGCUUAUCCCAUGCUCUAGGUUAGAUUAGAGUUGUGUGCAAUGCACUACUUACUUCCUAAUGCAUGGCAAGUUUGACCAAACACCAAGUGUCGGCAUAAAAUUUCAACUACUGGACCUUUAAUUAAGCUUAAUUAGCGUUCAGAAAGCGGGUUCAUAAUACGCAUUGGGUUCAUAAUACUAAAGUUGGGGCGAGAAUCGUAGACGUUUGAAAGAUUAUUUGUUUCCGUUCGCCUGUUCUGGUCUGGAUGCGGGUGACGUAGCUAAAGUGAGAAUCUUUGCUCUAGUCUAUUCGACGUACGUUGCAUUUCCGAGACGAGAAAGCGGAGAUUUCUGAACGAAAACAGGAUGGCAGGGAAUUUCACGAGGAACAAAGUUAACCAAAAGGACCAUUUUGGAACGGAGCGGGCGGCUAGUUUGGGCCGGGUCGCGGCGGGCCUACAGUAGCGGGGAAGUAGCCGGGGGCCGUUUCGCCUUCGUCGGUCUGGCCGGGCCCACCCUGCCGCACAUGCAUGGCGUUCGUUCGUUCGUUCGUUCGUUUCUUUGUUUUUUUUUCUCUCUCUUUCUCUUCGUUCCUCCUCUGAUAUCUCUCUGAUCUGCCAGUCUCCUUUGCGGCGUUCCAUCGAAUUCUACGAUCGUUGCGUCUUCCGGCCGGAUCCCAUGCGUGAUUAAUUGUUGGGUGGAUGGCGACGGCGAAGGCGUUUAUUGGAUCCAAAUCGCCCGACUGCUUCCAGCUCCGAGACCCUAAUUCCUGGUACUGAAUUACCUCCUCCGUUUCCGCUAAUCCCCUUCCAUACGCAUUUCCUCUGAUUGGCCACGGUGCGAUGUAGCCAUCGAACUACGCCUUAAUUCGUUAGCACCUAACUCUGGUAAAGAAAUUUCUUCAUUCGCAUCAACAAGAUCUCGUCAGAGUUGGCAUUUCAGUCGCCCUCUGGUGUAGGAACGAUUUUCAGGUGCAUCCUUUCGUUCUUGGCCGCGUGGCCAUCUCCUCUAGAGAAAAUCUCGUCGAGCACCUUAAUCAGUUAGUCUCACAAAACGUGCGCGAGGUACGAGGGAUUUGUUUGAAUAGUUUCAGGAUUGCGCGAGUGAACUGAAACACUGAUUUGAUUCUGUUUCGACACCAGAACAUGUAAACCAAGAACAAAAACAUUACUACAGCAGAGAAUGUUGUUCUUGGUUUACAGACCACAAUGCCAUCCCUUAAUUUUACUUUUGUUUUCUUUUGCAGGGUUUGCUUGACUGAGCUCGCGAGCGAUGUAGUCGUUGAGGUGGGAGAAGUGUCUUUCCAUCUACACAAGGUACGUUCAUCUGCUUCCUCUGUCUCGGGUAAUUUUCUCUUCAGUUUGAGAAUUGUUCCGUCAGCUCAACAUCUAUCUGAAUGACUCGUACCCAUUUACAGCGAAUGUACGUACAUUUGCGUUUUUACUGACACUGCAUCGCAAACUUAACUCCUCCCUGUAUUUGCUUCCAGUUCCCGUUGAUCAACCGAAGCAGCACGCUACAGAAGCUCAUCACCUCUUCCCCAACCUCCGACGACGACAACAAGCAGCCAUGUACCGUCAACCUCGACGACCUCCCCGGCGGCCCGGCCACCUUCCAGCUCGUGGCCAAGUUCUGCUACGACGUCCGGAUCGAGCUCACCGCCGCCAACGUCGUCCCGCUCCGAUGCGCCGCCGAGCACCUCGGCAUGACCAGCGCCGGCUCCGCCUCUGCCGCCAACCUCGCCGAGCUCACCGAGUCGUUCCUCCGCGACGCCGUGCUCCCCAACUGGGACGCCUCCGUGCGCGCGCUCCAGACAUGCUCCGGCAACGCCUCGGCAUUGUUGUCGCGCUACGCCGAGGAGCUCGGCGUCGUGUCCCGGUGCGUGGAGUCGCUGGCGAGCAAGGCGUGCGCUGACCCGACGCUCUUCGGGUCCCCGAUGCUCGCGUAUUACACGGCCAAGGAGGACUCAGAGUCUGCGUCGGGGUCGGCGGCGGUGAUGUGGAACGGCAUUGCCACCGCCGGGAAGCCCCGGGCGCCGGGGGCCGGGUGGUGGUACAAGCAGGCCACGUCAUUGCACUUCCCUUUCUACAAGCGUCUCAUAUCCGAGAUGAAGUCCAAGGGCAUGAGCCCGCACAGCGUCGGCGGCUCGCUGAUGCACUACGCUACGCGGCACAUCUCCGGGCUCAACACCCGGAAGCUGCUCGGCGCGGCGGCGUCAUCGGAGCCGGAGACGACGACGACGGUUGUCACGGACGUGGACGGGGAGCGGGCGCUGCUGGAGGAGAUCGUGGCGCUGAUGCCGCCCGAGAGAGGGGCGGCGACGGCGCGGUUCCUGCUGGCGGCGCUGCGGACGGCGGCGGUGCUGCACGCGGGGGAGAAGUGCCGGUCGGCGCUGGAGACGAUGGCCGGGGCGCAGUUGGAGGAGGCGGCGCUGGAGGAAUUGCUGAUCCCCAACGUCGGGUACGCGAGCGAGACGCUGUAUGACGUGGACUCCGUGCAGCGGAUGCUGGAGCGGUUCUUCGUGAUGGCCGCGGAGUACGAAGGAGAGCUCUCGCCGGAGAUUGUCAUGGCAGAUGGCGGCGAUGGCGGGAGGGAGGUGUCCGGCGGCGAGCUGGCGGCGGCCUGCGGUGCGGUGGCGAAGCUCGUGGACGGGUAUCUCGCCGAGGUCGGCUCGGACGCGGGGCUGAAGCUAUCCAAGUUCCAGACAGUCGCCGCGCUCGUCCCCGACCACGCCCGGCCCCUCGACGACGGCCUCUACCGCGCCAUUGACAUCUACCUCAAGGUAUCUAAUACUAAUAGCUAAGUAAUCAAGGAGAUCAGUUGGAAACCAUGGCUAAUUUGUGGAUCUGAGUAUGAGCAGGCGCACCCGGGGCUGACGAACACGGAGAGGGAGCAGGUGUGCAGGCUGAUGAACUGCCAGAAGCUGUCGCUGGAGGCGUGCACGCACGCGGCGCAGAACGAGCGCCUGCCGCUGCGGGUGGUGGUGCAGGUGCUCUUCUUCGAGCAGCUGCGGCUGCGCACCACCGUGGCCGGCUGGUUCUUCGUCUCCGACAACGCCGUCGCCGCCGCCGACCCCCAGCGGCCCGGCAGCAGCAACAGCAGCUCCCGCCCGAGGAAGAGCUUCGCGGGAGGCUUGGGCGACAUCGAAUCCGCUGCCGGGUCAGAGGAGGAAGACGACGACGAGGCGGAGAUUGAGGACCACGAUUGCCGGAGCAGCAGCGAGCAGGCGUCGGUGGAGGAGAUCCGGCAGCGGGUGGUGGAGCUGGAGGAGGAGUGCUCUAGCAUGCGGCACGAGAUCCACCGCCUCGGGAAGCCCAAGGGCGCGCUCGGCAGGCUGUUCCGGAAGCUCGGGCUCGCCAACGCCGGCGGCGGCAAGUCCUCGUCGUCGCGGCAGCUGCUGAAGAGCUCGAGUGAGGGGAAGCGUAGCAGGUUCUUGGAUUUGGGGUGCUGAUUUUGGAAGAUUUAUUAAUGUCCUUAUGUAGUUUCGAUUCAAGUUUGUUUUCGGUUGUAGAAUAGGUAGGCCAUGGGUUCCAUUUUGUUUUUAACUCUUGCUGAAAUAAGGUUUUAGAGCGUACGACAUUUUUUAUUGGUUUAGAUAAAAACAGAUGUACAAUUUCGUAUGCAACAUUUUUGCAACAAAAGGAUACUGAAUUACAAGUUCUUUGGGACAUCAACAGAUUUGAUACCGUUCGAUUAUAUCGUCUCCCAAGAACACUGUUGAAUUACAAGUUCAAACUUGAGCAAACCGAGCACAUGGUCAAAAUCCACAUAGUAGUAUUGUUGCAGAUAGAAGAUUACAUUCUCAGCAAAGAGGACCAGAUGUAUCCAAACGUAGGCUCUCUGACAGUGGAGAAGAGUACCAAGUAGCUACACGGCAAAAUUUAUUACCUCUGUUUACAAAGGGGUUAUAGGAUCAUGCAUUUGCAACAUGGUAUAGAGAAACAUGCGAGUAUCGUAAGUCAGCAACUGGCAUGUAAAUCUGGCCGAAUAAGAGGAAAACAAAAUGGUGGAUCAUGAAAAUGUAAUCGAUGAAGCGUAAGAGUGCAGCAGAGUAAGCGUCUGCUCAGCUAUGGCACGUUUCCUCGCCUGCUUCACCCACUCGGUGGCUAUUUCCUCCGCUUCACUCCCUUGCAACCCUCCUGUCAGGGCAUCAACUGCUGCACUUAAGUCUCCAUCUACAAUCAAAUCUUCCACUCUGCUUAUAAGAGACUCGAUACCGUCUCCAGAAUGGUCCUCUUUGAUCUGAAAACCAGUUACACCAAAUUUAGAAGCUUAAUCUGAGAAUUUAAAAAACAUCUCAGCAGCAAAGACGAUAUCUUGUACAGUUGCACGGUGGCCGUUGAGCAAAAAAAGAGGCAAGCUGAUGAUAACCAUGCGAGAAGGAUCCAUUGCUUUAAGUAAUCCAAACGAUAACUGUGCCCUAACCAAGGUUGGUAAAGAGGCCAGGGGCCAACCAAAAUCAAUUAGGCAGUACAAUGCCUGGACUAUAGAAAUAAAUAGCAUUUGAUAGUGCUUCAGCACAAGAUUGGGACAUCCAGAUUUUUCAGGUUCAUCAAUAUAAAACUGAUAAGUAGGAGGAAGUCGCAACAUUCACCUUGAUGGAAGAAGCAACACGAGCAACAGCGUGUGUCAGCAUACCACCACCACCUGAUGGUAUAAGGCUAAAAUGUCUGAUUGUUUCCUUCAAGGAAUUGAACUGCAAUAGGAAAUGAUGGUAACUUAGUAAAGGUAGCCAAAGUAGUUUUGCUCAAUAAAUAUUCACACAACUUAGUGUAGGUUAUUAGCAAGAUUACAAAUUUCUACUCCCAACGUUUUAAAUACAGUACAUAUUGUUUUAGGAUGUGUAGUCAGACUUAUAAUAACUUGACCUAUUAGUAUUUAAAUGCUCACAUGGGAACGAUAUACUAUGUCUGUCAUAAAAUGUAUUUUCAUAUUAACAUUUAUUUACAAUGACUAGAAAAAUAAAAGCUGAAAAUAUGGAUGUGAAGAGAUAUGUAAAAGGUGUCUGAAAAGACGUGUACGUAUUUAGAAACAAAAUGAGUAAUUAACAGCUGCACUCUCAGAAUAAUCUCUUUUCAAAAUGAUACACAAUCAGGGAUGUAUUUUCAGAAUGAGCAUUACCUGAGUUUUUUCACACAACAAUAGAGUUGAUAUUAAACAACAGUACGACACAUAAAAAUGCAAACACUUAUUGCAGCACAAAGAAUCUACCUUUUGUUUCAACUCCAUCCGGGUAUCUGAUCCAUACUCGAGAACAUCUUCUGGAAGCGAUGAAAGAGCCAAUUCUAGCAGUGAAUCUUUGUCAAUGCCUUCAAUAGAUUUACGCAAUAGAUCCACCUCUGUCCGGAUCGGUGAUCCGCUGGAUAGAGCUUCUUCCAAAGCAAGAGUGCCCUGCAGAGAUUUAAGAAUUUGUCAAAAAAAAAAAAGGUCUGAAAGCAGAAGAUGAGAAGACAGCAUUUAAGCUUCCAGUAGUUAGAAGAAAAGCACGUAAUGGCAUCAAAGAGAGAAACUCACUAGAGCAAGCUUAUGGACUGAAUGACUCUGCCGAGCUUCUUCAGAUCGCGCAUAGAAUGCCAUGCACAAAGCAUCUAUCUGAAAAAUAAGCACAACAAGGAAAUCAACAAAUGGAAGUGGAAAUUCUACACACUGAACACAUGGUUGGUAUAACAAUGGAAGAUAAAUACUCAGUAGAUAGAACGGAGACCUCCUAGUUAAAACAAGAAAACAAGUGGAUCCUUGUAGGAAAAUGUCCUGCCUUUAAUUGCAAUCGGAUCAACCCUAAUUCGCUAGCCAACCCAUCACUUGCGGAUGAGCUCAUUGCAGCUGAGCAUGUUUUAGUACCAUGAUUUUUUUGGAAUUUCUGUACCUAUUUUAGCGAAAAACUGCAUUGAGAGGCCGGCAGUAUAUGGACUUUAUCAUUUUUCUACUUUCCACACUACAUCAUCCAAGGUAACCACGGAACUCUGAAUAUCAUGGAUGCAAAUAAACAUUUGAGAAACGCUCGCUGCUAAUUCACAUAGCUCUUGAAGGUGUGGUAGGGUACUAGGGUGGCAGCAUACUAACCUUGCACAGCAUUUAGAACAUUGCCUAUCCUAAAAGAAAAAAAUGUCACAGGUACGUACAUUGAGAUUUGCUUCAGCAAUCUGUUCGAUCUGGGAUGCUUUCUCUUUUGCAAGAGCUGCAGCCAGUUCAGCCUUUGCCAACUCUUGAACCUUCUCAACUUGUUGACUUGAUUCCUCGUUCUAUUAAUUUAGCAACAGUACAGUUACACAACGAAUAAAUAUAAAGAGAAUAAAGAAUCUAUGGCACAUAGAAACAAAUCCGACAGACCUUCAGCUGCAGCUCAUCCCGAAGUGUUUGUUCAGCUUUUUCUUGAAGCUCUUUAAUCGCAGCAGCAGACUUCAAUUUCUCUUUCUUCAGCUCCUGAAAUAAAAUCAUGAAACUAAAAAUGUUACAACAUUUAAAGAAUUCAUUUCAAAUUGAAAUGCAAACAAGAGAUACUAUACCAGUCCAGUAUGUACAAAUAUACAUCGAGGAGGAUAAAAAAAGAAUGCACAUAAGAUAUUAUACAAGAGAUUGUUCUAUUUUGGUUUUUAUUUUACACUGAAAAUUUAAGAAAUAUUGUUAAAAGUGCUACACCUUCAAUCUCUAUUGUAGGUCAUUGCCAUAUCCAUGGAAUGAAAUAUUUGAAACCUAACAAAUCCUCUACGUAAAAACACCUAGAUUGGUCACAAUAAUGCCACCUGGAUAUUUUCAUUCCAUGAACUUUACUAAUAAAUAAUAAUGCAUACUGACUUUACAUAUAGCGAAUGGUCCCAGCAUAGAAGAAACAUGGAGGCCUAAUACAGAACAAAACCAGAAAAUCAAUAAAGCAUGUAAGCCUCACCUUAUCCAGAAUUGCUGCCUCUUCAGCAUACAUGAGUUCCCGGGCCCUGGUGUCCUUUAGUUCCUUUUCGUAUUUGUCCUGAAAAUGAAAAUAAAUCAUGACACUAAAAAUGAGUACCGUCAAGUGUGCAUUACUCCCUUCAUUAAGAAAAACAGAGCACAUUUUGGUUUAUCACAUGGAUCAAGGCUAUGAAACCAAGAAGUUACUAGAGGGAAAUGGACACGCUAUACAUGGUAUUAAUGUCUUGGGAAUAAGACAGAGAUAAGUUAGUGUGAGCGCUUAAGUCAUAAAUAUUGAAGAAAGACAGGGAAAUGAGGGAAAAUAUGCAAAAUGCCGUUACAUCCGCUUGCAAGCCUUAUAUUGUAGGACAAAAUCCCGCAGAUGUCCUUAUAUUUUUGGGGAGUGUAUAAGUUCAAAAGAAUCAAUGCCUAUUACCAAUUUAUCAAUAAAAAACAUGACAACUAAAACAAUUGAACAGAAGGAGGAAAAUAUUAGUGAUCCACAAAGGCAUGAUAUGCUAUGGUUGAACCUUGAUAUGCAGAAAACAACAAACGUGACUAAGCCAAACCAUAAGUUGCAAAUGGAUAACAAACCUUCAACUUCCUCUUCUCUUCAGAAAACAUGUAAGCAUCAGUAUCUGCCUGCUUUUUUUCAGCAGCAUGAAUAGCAUCUAUGAUAUCGAGCAUAAUUUUCCCAUCAUCAGUGUCUUUUCCACCACCAACAAUGCCAUCAGUUCUAGCCUCCUUAGCAAUCUGUUUAACAACAAAAGGAUAAAAAAGAUAGGUAAGCAUUGAAAUGUGAAUAACUGUCAUCAACUUAUUUCCAGUGAGCUCUCCAUCAGUACAUUGUAUUUCAUCAAUGUUGGUACUGUCCAGUUUUUAGAAGGUGAGAGGACAUACCACAUCUUUAGUAAUGUCAGGUUCCUGCUGUAGUAAAUAUGUCUCAGCAAGAGAUUUCUGUUCACCUCCACCAAUAACUGAUGGAUCCUACGGAUACAAAUUAGUUCAAUUAGAUGAUUUUCCCAAUGUCAUUAUUCACUACUUAGAAACAACAUCAUAAAUUAGUAUAGAAGAAAGAUAACCCGGGAAAAAGGCUUGUCUGAUUAUGCUACAUGAAAGAACUAGUGGUGGGUUAUUAAUAUGUAACUUAUAACAAUACAUAGGGCAAGGUAAACAUAGAGUGAUUUUCAAUUUUCAAUAAAGCACUGUAGUUAACCUUCAAAACGAUAUAACUGAAAGUGACUAUAGGACCACUUCAAAUUUGCUCGAGUGCGAGCUCUGCAUGUCAAAGUCCAACAUAAUAAAAAAAAUAAAAGUCAGAACUGUAGAUAGACGAUAGAAGGCAGCCAACAAACUAUGACAUUUGCAUACUACAUAGUGCAUUAAUAACCUUAUUUAUUUAAACCAAAGUAUUGGAGGAUUCCCAUUUUUAGAAAUUUAUCUAUGCAAAUCAUAAUCCAUGGAGCCUAGAAUCCACAAAAUAUCCAAGAAGGAACACAAUAGUCCUUGUUAAGUUUAUAAAAUCUGUCCAAGUGCCAAUUUCAAAUGGUGGAAAAUAAAAGAGGGAGUAUCUUGCACUUAUGAUCAGUGGCGGUGCCAGCUCCCAAAACCUGUGACUGUGAUUUCAAUGUAUCUUAUAUUCCUAGAAAUUGUGAGGACUAAUGUGCAAUAUUUGGACAUAUGAAGGUGCUUUACGCAAAGCUGUGAUAUCAUUUGACAUCAGGCUGCACAUGAUGAUAAUGUGGCACAUAUAACAAGUUCAAAAUGAAUGCAAACGUUAAGUGCAUCACUAUCUGUGUGCAAAUCAUGGUAAGGACCUACUGUUGUUGAGUUCGACUGCAGUGGAGAAACUGUGCUACCAAUCUUGUCAGCUUGUCCAGGAGGAACUUCAUGUAAUGCCUUGUCAUUAGCAACGCUAUGCUUUAUGUCAACAGUGGGAGUGUCUUGAGACGGCAGUUUAGUAUCAGCUACAUGCUCAUCUUGAACUGGUAGUGUCUCCUGGGCGUGGGUUUCUGUCUUUUCUUCUUCAGCGGGAGUAGGUUGCUCACCAACAGUUGGAAUCACUGCCGCACCUAUCCCUUCAGUUGGAAGGUCCUGAGGUGUAUGAACCUUACUGCCGCUAUCCUGAACAAUGCCAGUGUUUGGAUCCGGCAUGGUUCGUUUCUGAUCAACCUUUUGUUCAGAAGAAGACUUCAGAUUUUCAUAUAUCUUUGUGAAAUUUUGCUCCCUGACGGCUGAAGGAAAUUUUGUAUCCUUAAACUGAAGGUCUAUGUAGCCGGCUUGGUAAGCAGCCAUAGCAGCAGCACCAACCACCAGAGUCCCAAGCAGAAGCUUUGAAACCUUGCUUCCAGACUGAGAAGGUUCUUCUUGAGGGCCAGGAACAGAAUUCUGUGUCGAACUCUUUUGAGAUACCUUUGUCGACUUCCUUCUGGAAUUUAGUAGUGGGCUUUGGACCUGACAAUUAGGUUACUCUGUCACUUUCUUGGAAAUCAUAUACUACCUUGAAGAAAAUAGUUUAGGUAAGCAAUCAACAGAAAAAUAAACUUCCACAGCUAAGCUCGAAAGCACCGAUAUGGCCAGCUCCGUCGUAUCGGCAUGCUGACACGCCGCGACAAGGAAUAGGCUCAACAAGGAAUUACGGUCACGAAAGCAUUAUAAACCUAAUACAAAAUCCUGUGCAUUAAUGGCAAAUUAAAAAUGACCGCACUUAUAUAAAUCAAUUUAGUGAUCAAAUGAAAGAAAAUCUAGCCACGAGGCAUUUGACAGGUCUAAUCAACUUUUCUAGAUGUUUCUGCUUGCAUUGAUAAUGUGCCAAUAUGAAACCGUGGUUCCAUUUUAGUGCUACAACCAUUACUAGUACUACACAUCUACGCUGGCAACAGAUUUGAACUUUCAUAGCAGACCAUAUAUUGCUCAAUUAAACAAAUAGAAUUUUUCUGUAAUUUACUCGGGGAAAAACACUGAUCAAUCUUAUCCUGGUUAAGCCCACAGCUUCUCACAAAACUCGGUGAUAUUGAUUUCAUCAAUGCAAGUCAACAUAAUUCCUUAACUUAGGACCUCGAGGUCAUUGGAAGACCUUAUAAAAGCAGGUAACUGGAUCACAUAUCACAGCAUUUUGCUCCAUUACUACUUCAUUGAACGCUAACGAACUAUGUUUUCAUAACAAAUGACAGGAUGAGCAGCAUUGCCAAAUUAAUGAGACAUCAGCAAGCAAACCUACGACUGACAAUGUAAUCAACAAAUUCACCAAUCCAAGGCGUCCCCGGUAUGCUCAGACAAUAACCGGAUUCUCAACUCAACAAAUAGUACAUACAUCAGACGAGACGGGAGCGCUUACCUCGCUGGAGAUCGGCCUGGGGAUCCUCGUGAGGGACCGCAGAGAGUACAGAUCCCGCACGCCCCUGCAAUAGCAGAUAGAACAAGACAUUAUACACCGAAACCCUAAUUUGGCGGGGCAAAUUCCUAGGUCGUUCCCCGUACCGGCGCAACAUGACGGGCGAUGUCAGAGGAGACCUCCGCCUCUAGGUAUUCUUGUCGCUUGGCAGGGAGGAGGGGCGCGGAGCGGCGCAGCUCCGAUCGUUCUGUAGGGUCACCGCCUUGCGCCGCAGGGGCGAGCCGGCGACGGCGGGGAAGAGGGGAACACGGAAGACGGCCGGGUGAGGGUGACGCAGGGUCGCCGUGCACUUGUGCGGCUUUGGGAAUAAACGUUUCGGGAGAAUGCGAGACUAUUCUCGAGUAAUAUUUUCGAGAGUAAAUAAAAUUCACAAGCGAAAUUCAAAUGAUUUUCAUGGAAAAAAAUUUGGAGUGUUCUAAUUUUUUAGAAUUCCUUUUUUUCAAGGAAAAUUUGAGGAGUUCUUGCGUAUGGUAUUGUUUGAUCGUUCGAUUAAGAGCCAUAGAGAUUUAUCGUAUAGAUCACGGUGCAUGCAAUUUUAGGGGUGGAUUUCUUCGAGUUCAACCUCAUAAAAAAUUGGUUUUCCUUUAUAGCAGCAUAACAAUCACCUAACUUUUUAAGAAUUUCAGUAACAUGUUUAUGUGUUCCCAAUUAUUGCAGUAUUUAACAUGCCAUGGUAUCCAGCUUAUGAUUCAUACUUGCUAGUUCAAAUAUCAUGCUAAAAAUGUUGAUUUAAAGAUUAAAUAUUUGAAGGUUGAGCUAAAAUGGAAUCCUGUUUGCAUCCCUAAUCACGGGGCUAAAAUACGGUGAGAAAGCAUGAUAGUUGUUGUGAACCAAACGCCUUUACCAAGUUAUGACAAAUAUUUGGUAAAAAGAACACGCAUACGCUCACAAUACGUGCGCACACUCACCCUUAUGAAUGCAUACACAUAGACCCUAUUCCUAUGAGCAUCUUCAAAAGAUUGAACAUGCAAAUCUUGAGAGAUUGGCGAAGUCACCGCCUCGUUGUUGACGGUACGUCAUCUACCACUGAAAGAAUAGCUCAAGUUAAAAUCCUGGAAUAAUUCAAAAAAAUGUGACACGCAUGUCAAGUCAACCUGGAUAGGCUAAUUCAACCACAAGGAACCAAGCUACCUGAGUUAUGACCAAUUCAGAAAAAGAUACUCAGCUGGUCCUCACCGUUAACCAAACAUUUUCUAAACUCUCGUUAAUCAACUCAGCUAGUCCUCGCCAUAAGACUGAUCGAGUAAUAUUUUGCAAACAAGUACAGUACAUAACCCUGCAUAGUUAGAUCCAUGCCAUCCUCAGCUUAAUCUAUGUCAUGGCGCAGGCUGUGAUCAGUGACACCGACCGAUUGGCAUCAGUCACAUAACUUUCUUGUGUGAUUUACCUCUCAUGCGAGCCUUUAUCUUUUCAUAAGCAACACCACGGUUUUUGAUGCCAGGCCUUGCUCGUACACAAUCCUAACCAUUACUCCAGAAAAAAACAUUACUCCACUGGUGUUCAGGAGAUAUCAACAGUGUGAUUUCCCUUUGUUGUAGGAGUUAUUACGCUCAAAAAUAGAAUUCAGAACGAUGCUAAGAGAGGCGAAUCCAUAAUUGCAGAAAGGGCCGAAGGUGACAAAGAGUUGACAUAUUCAAUCUUGAGGCUUUCGCCGCUCAGGUAGAAUUAUGUUAGCGAAACAUCUGUUCAACUCCAUGGAAACAAACAACAAUGACACAAAGUUCCCUCUAAUCGCUUCAAAUCAUAAAUCCUACAAGCCCACACAUUCUGAUCGUGUGGGCCGUUUUCAACUCUAAGGGAAGUUUGAUUCCGAGAACAUGACGAAACCAGGCACACCUCUUCGCAUGGUAACUAGGGCAGCGUCCAAGAGCUUCACUUCUUCCUCUUCUUUGGGGGCUGGAGCGAGUCUUCAUCGUCAUCUUCCUCCUCGUCCUCGUUGUCCUGAUCGUCAUCUUCCUCUUCUACUCCAUCUUCAUCAUCUUCACCGGCAUCUUCAUCAUCAUCCUCAUCCUCAUUGUCAUCAUCGUCGUCGUCGUCAUCAUCACCACCUCCUCCGCCCUCCUGCUCCUCCGGUUCUUCCUCAUCCUCCUCACCAUUCUCCUCACCAUCACCUAUUUGUUUCUUCUUGUUAUCAUUGCCCUUAGCAUUGUCAUACUCCUCUCCUUCUGAGAUUUCCUCUUCACCCUCCGCAAAGUCACCAUCAUCAUCCCCAUCAUCAUCAUCUCCAUCUUCAUCGCCAGCAUCAGUAGGAGCAGCUUCAUCGCUCUUCUUUCCACCCAUCUUGAACUCAGGGGCACAACAGAUAGUAUCCUGUACAAUUAUUACACAAAUAUAGUUAGUCAGAAUGCAAACAUCUAGAGCAAAGCUUUAAAAUACUGAAAAAGUAAAAAGGAUUAAAUGAAACAAUUUCUUCUUGUGACCAACAGCUGGCCACACGCCUAAACACAAAAUGGCUCCAAAAUUAAAUAGAUGCGAUUGAUGUAUCUACUGAAUGCAAGAUGCCGCCUGCUUACCAAGCAGAUAAACCAACGUUGUAUUGCUGCUAUAUUGUUUUUGGCUGGAAAGGAGCAGAAGCUUGCAUAACCUGAUCUCACUACGAAAUUCCCCGGUGGAUGUUUCAGGUUUCAUUUCUCCAGUCACAUGGGUUCAAACCUGAACAUUAUAUAUAGAUCAAUUUACCUGACUUCUCGAUCUAACACCGAUUACCAGAACAAUCAAAGAUGGCCGUUUUCAUAAUAACCUGUCUACAAUGUUCAUCUGUACGACUCAUGUAAAGCCAGAACAAACAUGGACAGUGUUAGAAGAAAGUGUGACCUAGUAAAAAUAACUCUAGCCAAGGGAAGGGAGCCCACUGCAAAAAUGAUUACAGGAGGACUCCCUUGUGUUGCAGUCGCGAGCACCGACAGUAAGUAAACAGUACACAGACAGGUGGGACCGUGUGGCAACAACUUUCGCCAUCAAAGAAGUCUUCAUCACACUUAAGAAAGUGAUUAAUCUUACCAAAUCACUCACUAAUCAUGCUGCUUACAGGUUAAGCAACACAAAUCCGAGUACUUCCGUAGACCUACCCAGGGAAGGUAUCUAAGAACGAAUAUUCCCAUAGCCUAUGGGAAGCGAAUAUUCGGGCCCUACAGUCUACUAGGGGCAAGGAGUUGUAAUAAAGAAGCAACGACAGGGCGCUUUCUUUUAUGCCAUGCCACGCGGGGCCCACCUGCGCGGAACUCAAACCCCGAGCUGAAAACCGCAGCCUAAACCCAACACACAGUUCCGCAUCCGAAAAGCACAGAAAGCCAGAACCAUACCUCGCUCAACGGUACAAAAGCAGCGUUGAAGACUUGAACUGAACCACCCUGAUUUUUUUUUUCUCGUAAAAUAAAAUAAUACGCACGCUAGAGAUAAAAUAAUUCGCACGCUAAUUGAGAGGGGAAAAGACAAAGCAGAUAUUUAAAAGAGUAAAAUGACAAGGAAGAGACGAGAUGCAUGUAUGACUCAUGCGAUAUUUGCGGUUAAGGGGUUCAUUUACCUCGGCGCCGGCGGCGGUGAGCAGCUCGGCGAGGUCGUCGUCGGCGCAGGCGUGCAGGGCUCCGGGAGCCGCAGGUUCCAUGACGGUGUCCAUAUCUCGACGGCUGCAAGGGGAACACGUGGACAGUCAAAGAGGAUUUACAAGACGUCAGUCGGAUGGGGGUUAUACCGUUAGAGGCAACAACAACAAACCUUAAAAACCUUGGGUACAUUUUUUACUUUCCCAAGGCGGUGGAAAAAGGCAUGCGCCCGUCAGAUUUUGUGUACCCUAAUUUUAGCAAAAAUCCAUGCUACUGCUUCUGCUAGGCCGCAGAAGAGAAACAGAACUACCAGUCGAAAUAAGAAAGAGAGAGAGAGAAAAAAAAGGAAGAAGAGAAAGCAGAGCACAAGACAUAUUUUCUUUCAGUGAGAGAACCUGAAAUGGGUAAACUCUACUGAACACACAAACCAUGGCAAGCUUCUGACUUUGCAGGUAUGCGUGUAAAAAUCUCAUGCGAUAAGCUCGGACCCUAAAAACUUGUGCAUAAAACAACAACCUUUGAACAGAGGCUAACAGAAACAACACCGGAUUUUAUGAUUAUUAUUCUAAUAGAAAGAAUCGAAGAUGAGUGGAAUUAGGGUGAGGUGAACAUAAUCCUAGAGAGGCAGAGGGGUUUACCUU